ACACUUGUUUCCCACGCAGGCGUGAAGGUUGGCGGAGACCCAGCUUCCAAGGUUGUGUCCUGACCAACACAAAGAUUUCCCAGAGUGCUGGCAGCUUCGAACAGUCUUCGAAGUGCAGCCAACACCCUUUGGCUCAGGCUCCCAGUGUAUGUAUUUCUUCAUGUCAGCUCUGGGAAUAAGCAUUAUUAAAAUCUGCAGGAAUAGAGAAAUUUGCAGGUACUACAGCUGCAUUUUAAAUAUUUAUAAAGACGAGCAUAUAUUAAAGCUGGCUUGGAUUUACUGCUCUGUUUAGGAAAGAGAGCUAUGAAUUAUUUUUAAAUUCUGGUUUAUAACCUACCAGUAGAUCAUUUUCUUCUCUUUAUUUCAAAACAGUUUUUCUCUAUAAAGACAAAUUGAAUACCUUAAUGAAAUCCUCUUGCUCGCAGUGUUUUCCUUUGUGUGGAAUGCUUUCUCUAAGAAAGAAGGAAUUACUGAAGAAAAUGGGUACCUGAUCAUGAAAAAUGUGGUCAGCAAUAUGCUUUUUGUGCUUUUUGUUACUUAUAUUACAAAAUUUAGGAGAGGACACUCAGAAAAAAAAGGACAUGAUAUUCUUUUUGCUUUUCACUCAUUGGCAUAAUAUAGCUUUAACCUGUUAAGGUUAAUCAGUCCCAACAUCAUGGCAAUGUUGAGCCUGCUUACAGUAGCUAACAUUCAUUACCUCCAAUAUCUAUAGUGUGGGAACCUAUAAAUCUUUCCUCGUUGACUUAAUAAUGUGAACACCAGAGAAGAUUGCUUAUGCUGGAAAAACGUUAAGAGUGUUUGGUAUUAUUGUGACAGCCAGGGCCAGAUUAAGGCAUGUGAGGGCCCUAAACACUGAUGAUCUGUGGCGCCCCCACCUCUGUUUUCUCACGCAUUCGAAUGGGAUAUGUGAGUUAUAUAUAUACAUGUACGUGUGUGUGUGUGUCUUAGCUAUCCAGGAUGUAUUAGUGAUUGAAUGCAAAAGUGGUGUAUGCCAUUAAAGCGGAAUGAGAUGAACAGGGUUAUAAAGUUUUUAGUAGAUGUGGGGUACUAAGAUUUUUACUAUAUACCACAUUUUCUACAAAAAGAAUAUUCCACAUAUUCUACAACAAAGAAAAUGAGCCAGUGAACUUAGUUGUUUCAACAAUCAAUGUAAAAUUCCGUUGAUCUUCCACAACGAAAAAUUGACUUUCACCGGUUUUGCUUUAAAUGGCUCAUACUUCAAUUGUGAGUCUUGCUUUGUAAGAAAUGCUAUAAUUAUAGAUGAACAAAUGAAAAGAUAUCAUAAAAUUUAAUGAUCCAAAAACAAUAUUACAACAAAUUACUACAUUUUAUUUUAGAUAGAUCUUUCAUCUCUAACAUGUUAUAAUUAAAAACAUUCCUUUCUGUUCUUUGCUUUUACAAAUUCUUCAAUGAUUUCAUCACAAUUAAGCUGCCAAAUAACAUCUACUUCCAUUCAUAAUAAGGAUAAUGAAUUGAGUCUUUCUUGAAUCGUUGUUGUACACUGAGGGUUUUUGAGUAUCUUUAGGGAUGAAAAUGAGUGUUCAGUUGUACAGUCUGUGAUUGUUAAAGUUAGGAAUAUGUGUAAAGUAAUUUCAACAUUGGGAAAUACCCAUUGUAGUUUUUCUUUUAUUAUGGAAUUAUACAUGCCUACAUGGGUGAAAUUUGUCUUUCCUGAAUCUGUAAAUUUAGUUCUCAUGUAAGAAUGAAAUUGUCACACUUCGUAAAGAUUCGUAUUUAAGUCAUCGGGAUAAACCAAACCAAACUCAUUGCCGUUGAGUCGAUUCCAACUCAUAUCAACCCUAUACGACAGAGUAGAACUGCCCCAUGGGGUUUCCAAGUAGCAGAUGGUGGAUUCAAACUGCCGACUUUUUGGUUAGCAGCCAAGCUCAUUGCCACUGUGCUACCAGGGCUUUGUCCUCUGGAUAAGCCUGCAAUAAUUUCUUGGAUGCCUUCAUGCAUCCACAUUGUUUAAGAAGGAAAAUCUAUCUGAAAGAAUUUUCUACACUUUUGCCCUUCUUUUCAUGCAAGAUUCAUGUGUGUCAGUGAUGGUGUAGUAUGUAGUUAAAAGAAAUUGAUCUCUGGCACGCAACACUUCUGGAGCAUUUCAUUUCUUUCUAGUGCUUCUUUGAUGGUGAACUGCAUGAUAAUCAGUACUUGACAGUGUUUGUUUUGUUGUGUUUUCAAAAUCUUCCAAAUCUUCUUUUAAAGUAUGAAUAUACUCUGUUAAUGACUGGUAGAGAUCUGUGCAUGCUUUUAAAUUUACUUCUGGAUCUUGGAGAGCUUGACUCGUCUGAUGAAAAUGCUGCAAUAUAUUAUUUCACAUAAUCAAUAUAAAUACAUACGCUAGUGUUUGCAUUCUGUUGGAAAUGUUUUUAGCUUCUCUUUUGGUAUCUCCUUUUCUAUCUGAUCUUCAGUAAUAUUUUCUAAGGCAUCUAGAAUCUAAGUGUACAAUUCCAGGAUUGCAGUCAUUGCUACAGCUUGCACUUCCCAACAUGUAUUAAAGAAACAUUUUAAUACUUAAUUAUGGCCUAAAUAUGUUUUAAGAACUGCCGAUUGGUAAGUAGGGAUGGCAAAAAAAAAACGUAGAGUAACUGAACAGUAGAAAAAGAUCAACUGCUUCCAGACAACAAUCUACUGCAGCAUUGUGAGAGAAUUGGCCUCUGUACUUAGAAAAACUAAUUUUGCAAACUUCACGUAAAUAGUGAAGUACUUGAUUUGCAAAUUCUCCACUGUUACAACUUUUAAAGCUACUAAAUGUGAUGAUAGCUCAACAGGUUUUCCAUCUGUUGGAGAUGUGUAUCUUAAAACAUUACUUACCUGAUCUUUAUGCAAAAGAUCAAGAGUAGAAUCUACAAACUGAAAUAUCAAGCUAUACUUAUUUCACUAAAAAUAGCUGAUUGGACUUUAUCACUUAUUAAGUUUGUUCUUCACACAGUGUUUUAGUCAUAUACGAUGGGUUGCUCUUUGCUGUGUUACCGUAUUUUGAGAUGUAACCUGCUAAAAAUGGAUCAAACAAGUUCAACCAGACCCACACAGUUUCCAUUUGGUAGAGACUCAAAUACUUCAUUUCUUCCUUGAUAGAAUAGUCCACAUUCAGUGAUUUUUACAAGGACAGCAACAACAUGUUGCAAAAUGGCUUUCCAGCACUGAUGUUCUUCAUUAAUUUGUGUUUCCAAUUCAUGAGUUAAGCCAAAAUCGUAUCUUCAUUUUGAAUAUGACAACAUACAGUCUCUGUGACUUGAACUGUUUUCAUGUUUAUCAACCAUAUUGGAGUUGUGCAAAUUGCUAAAUCCAUAGCUUAAAGAACCUUGCACAUGGGCACCCUGGUGACCCUGUAUGAACUUUAUUUCUGGCUGGCACAUUCUCACGCACUGAAGCUGGUAUUAACUUCAUUUAAUGCCCUGCCAGUUCCCUUCCCUGCAGUGCUCACUUUUUCUUGUGUCCUGACUGCUUGCCAUCUAUGGAUCUUUGCUUUGGACAACUGGUGCCUCUGUUUUGUUGAUGCUCUAAGCAUGUGCUUACCUUGCUUAUUGGGUAAUCUGUCCCUGGUGAAAGUGUAAAUAUUCAGUCACCUGCUUGAGAGCUUAAAAUAAUGGUCUGAAAUGAUUAAUGGAAAGAAAUCCAAUGAUUUAAUUAGAAGGGGGGUUCAGCUUUAUUUACAGAGUAGAACUAACUAUAGGUGCUGUUUGGGUAAACUAGAACAUUUGAGCUUAGUAAGGAAAAAACUUAAGACUUUCAGUUGGUUUGACCAAGCAUAGCAGCUCAUACAAUCCUCCAGUGGAGUAAAGGGGUGCCCAUCUGAACAGGUAAGGCAUCAUUACUUACAAGCUCAGAGUAAAGCAUCUUUGAAUUAGAACAAUAGUGAUCUAACCUUUGGUAUUUCUGUGUCAGUCUGGUUUUUACCAGUUGCCAUCAAGUCAAUUCUGACUCAUGGCAACCCCGUGCAUAUCAGAGUAGAACUGUACUUCAUAGGGUUUUCAAGCUCUGAUUUUUUGGAAGUAGAUUGCCAGGCCUUUCUUCUGAGGUGCCUCUGGGUGCAUUCUAACCUCCAGACUUUUCAUUAGUAGUCCAGUGCAUUAACAAUGUGCACCACCCAGGAACUCCUCUGGUUUAAGGAUCACCAAAUGUUAAGAUAUCCACUUACCUGGAUCCUCUCUGUGAGUUAUUCUUCCUACUCCCUCCUUAGACUAACUUGUUAAGAGUUCUCUCUGCAGUAUUGCCUACUGUUUACUCAGCUUAAAGAAGUAAUUUCUGAAUGAAACAAAUCCUUCCAAAUUUCUCAGCCUGGUAACUGUGGCCAUUUCUUAUUUAUCACAAUUGUGUAGGGGAAAUUGCAAGGGCCACUUGUUAAAAAACACUGUAAUAUCAUCUAAGAUUUUUAGGAACUGGGGAAUAGUUGUACUCUAUUUAGCUAGCAAAAGGAGCCCUGGUGGCACAACAGUUGGCAGUUCAAAUCCAGUCAGUGGUUCUGUGGGAGAAAUACCUGGCGAUCUGCUACUAUAGAUUACAGCCUAGAAAACUGCAUGAAGCAGUUCUGCUCUGUCACAUGGGAUCACUAUGAGUCAAAAAUCAACUCAGUGGCACUCAACAACAGCAACACUUGGCUGGCAUUCCUUGUUUCCAUGUUACUGUCCUGCAUUGCCUUUUCCUUGCCACCUCCACAUUCAUCUCUCUCAUGGUAUAUUUUGGGGAUUAGCACUCCUCAGUGUGACAGCAGAAGGUACCCUCUUCUGUGCUAUGCCAUGCUGUACCCAGCUUGCUGUUCUCCUCCUUCACCCAGUGGGCAAAUAUCUGCCCUGCAUUAGGUGCAGCAGAUGGUUAAGUGCUUGACUACUAACUGAAAGGCUGAAGGUUCAAGCCUACCCAGAGAUGCCUUGGAAAAAAGCCCUGGAGAUCAGUCUGCUUCUGAAAGGUCACAGCUAUUGAAAACCCUGUGGAACAGUUCUGCUCUGAAACACAUGGGGUCAUCAUGGGUCAGAAUUGACUUGACAGCAACUGGUUUGGUUUUUUUGGUUUGGAUGUCAGUGGGGCCCCUGUCUGGUGGGUGGAGGGGGACCAUGGUGCAGGAACCUAAGCAGCCCACCCUCAUCAGGUGAGUGUAAGCACUGUGCUUGGAGUAGGUGGGUAUAGAGUAGGGUGCUGUCUCUGGGAAGUACAGAGCAGCCCUUCCAGCCUUUUGAAGAACUAGAACCAGAAACCAGGAUAGCACCUGAUUCUUCUAUGCUGAGAUUAUGGAGUAGGGAUCAGGGUAAAUGACUCAGGGCUCCCUGGGGGUACCCUUGCUGCUGCCCUUGGGCUGUGGAUGAUUUCAGAGCCCACUUGAUAGUAGAAGGAAGCUCCCAACAUUCUACCACAACUGGCUCCAUGUCUGGUCAAGCCUGGUAUCCUGCAGCAGAGCUGGACUUGGACAGCUGGGUCCAACAUGCUCAGUGCAGCUUCCUCCAUCUAAGACAAUAAUACGUUCAUUUAUUUGCUCAAUAAAAAUUUGUUGAGCACUUACUUUGUGCCAGGAACUGUGCAGGGAGGAUCAUAAACCAGAUGUGGCCCCGCACACCAAGAACUUCUGCUUCGGUAGAUGCAAGAACAAUCUGCAACUGAUCGCAAUACCUUCUUUUUCUUAGUAAUUGUAAGUCACUAUAUUUUUCAAAAAUAUGCCUGUUAUCUAUUCUAAAGCAUAACUUUUCCAAUGUCUUGAUAGCUCUAAGUUUCAAACUUUGACCUCUUUGGAAGGGCAUCAUCUAUCUGCAAAGACCUUUCUGGACAUUUUGUAAGCCCAUAAAAGAGUUUCAUGUUUCUGAAGUCUACAUGUUCAAAUGAGUUGUUUUCUGCUUAUAAAAUAUUAAAGGGUUGCUACAUUCUGAUUGAGUGCUAGACAUCAAAUGAUAAAACACCCGUGGUCAAAGGGAAAUUGCUUUUUAAUGGAUUGCCUAUUGCCCGUUGCCAUAAUAAAUAAGUUACUAAUAUGAAAAACAAAUCUGAAUGUACCCUUAUGUUGAAGAGGAUAUCUGUUUUUCUUCUGAAGAAAAUUAGUUUCACACACAAAUCUGUCUUCUUUUGGUCUGCAUGUUCCUGCUUUUACCGAUUUCCUAGGUUCAUGAUUCUGAGCCCUUCUCAAAGAGAUUUGUGUUAAUAAUUGACCCCCAACCAUGGUCACUUUUAGCUCUAUAGGCUAGUCCUGACACCAAAGAAGUAUCCAAUAAAAAAUCUAAUUGUUUGAAAAAAUAUAUAUAUAUAAGAAGAAAGAUCCAAUUUUCCAGAAAUUAUUCGUCUCUUGAUUUUAACUUCAGAUCUCUUGAGGACACCACUUCUGAAAUACCAAUUACAUUUUGGUGUCUAGAACAAACAUAUUAAUGUUCAAUUAAAUUACUGUUACCAAAUAUUUAUGUACAGCUCUUUUAAGUUGCUUUUUUUCUUUAAAAAAUUAUUAUUUUUCUGCUUCUCAAUUAUUGAUGUUGCAAGUGGCCAACAUUCCAAUAGUGUGGUCUAAAAUAAUGUCUAUUCAUGUUUUCAGAGCUCAUUUAAUUAAAUAAACAUGUAUUAACAUUAUCGAUCCCUGUAACACCCCCAGGAAUUAAUCAAGAUCAGUACCAUCUUUGUUUAUUAAUGAAGGAAAGAAUUGCACUUACUUAUAUUGUCCGGGGUCACUGAGCUCAAAAUGGUGUUCAAAAGCCCAAGAAAGAUCAGUGUAGGAAGAGGCAGGAAAGUAGAAUGGUUGGCCCAGCUGUGAAUUACAGCUCAGCUUGAGCAUAUUUCAUCCUUGUUCUGAGCUUCUGGUGUCUUAUCUAUAAAACAGAGAUAACAACUAUGCACAGUUUGGACUUUCCCUUAAUGGGAUAAUAAUGUUGCCUCAGUCGAGGCUCUUUUUUUUUUUUUUUUUUGCAAGUCAUGGACUCUCACCUUCUAUAAGCAAACUGCAGGUAGAUAAGGAUGAGGGAGACAGAGCUUAAGUGACAGCUGGAACCAUGGCCCGGAACAAUGUCGCUUAUCUCCUACUCUCUACAUAUUGACUAAAAUUAUUCUUUUAAACCUGUUUUUUCUCCACAAGUCUCUCUUGAGAGCAGGGUACUUGUUUUCCCUUAGUGUCAGUUUGUAAAAUCCCAAGGAAGAAUGCUUAUGGACCUGGCUUUGGUCCCAUAUCCCCAUAACCUGGGUUGUAUGAUUGGCAGCUCCAGCUAGAAGAAAAGAUUGACGUAGAGAGAGGAUCGAGUCUUUAAAAGAAGUAUAUUUGCGUGUGGUAGGUGGGGAGGGGGAAGAGAGGUGGGCGCACCCUUACAGAAAGGAGGCAUAGCACAGACAAAUCCAUUGAUACUACAGAUGUGAAGUCCUUAAGAAGACACCCAGCUCCUAAUUGGGAGUAAAAAAUGGUAGCUGUUAUUUUUGUUAUUAUACUUCUGGUCCCAAAAGCAAAUGAUAAAUUGUUAGGGAAUGGAAGGAAAACUGGAUUCCCAACCUAAAUAGGUUAGUUACUUAUCUUUUGGCUAUAUAGCAACAGACACAGCUAUAGUCCAACGUCAGGUAUAGCUAGAAUAUUUUUUUCUUAUCGCUCUCUCGUUUAUUCAUUCAUUCAAUAACUACAGGGUUCCUUCUCUGUGUAUCAGAAUCUGUACUAAUCACUGAGGACACGGGGGUUAAAACACCUCCUGCUUUCUUAAGCAGCUCAUAUUUUAAUUGGAGAGGCCUUCGCAUAAACACAUGAUUAUAAAGCAUUGUGCUGUUUGUAUCAUCACAUUCAAAACAUAUAACAGCACCAGGAGGCAAUGGCUGGUUCUUUCCGUAUGUGGGGCAGGGCUGAAGAAGGAGGAGUCUUGGAAGUAAUGACAGAGAAGAAGAAAUACGUGUGUGUGUGCAGAAUUACAAAGAUGAAGAAUGACCAGGCAGGUAUGGAAGGGGAAGGAUGGGAAAAACUCUUGCUAGGUCCAGGCAGUGGGAGCCAUGGGUGAAAAGGCAUGGAGACUCAGGGAAUUCUAGUUCCAUGUGACUAAAAGCAUAGGGUUUUGAAGAUGUAAGCAAAUGGGGGAGAUGCUGGCAGAGGAAGCAAGGGUCAGAUCAUAUUUGUCAUGUAGAGGAGUUUGGACUUUACGUUUUAAGGAGUGGAAACCAACAGGACAAUUUUAAUAAUAAUAAGGAUUGUCCAGUCAAGUAGGUCCUAGGGUUGGUUAACUCAACCAAUCAGGAUGUCAUCAGAAAAGAGCUUUAAGGUUCUUUCCAUCUCUCUGUCCUGGCAUCCUUGGCAAGUCAAAUUUGUCCUCAGGCAGGUACCAAAAUGGCUAAUAUCAUUAUGUGAUCCAGAAGAAUGAAGAGGCCUUUCUUCCAGUGGAUCUCUUAUAAAAAGCCAGAAACCAAACCCUUUGCCAUCGAGUUGAUUCUGACUCAUAGUGACCCUAAAGGACAGAGUAGAACUGCCCCAUAGGGUUUCCAGGGAGUGCCUGGUAGAUUUGAACUGCUCAUCUUUUGGUUAGCAGCCAUAACUCUUAACCACUCUACCACCAGGGUUUCCAGAUCUCUUAUAGGAUAGUUGUGUGGAAAUAUUUCCAAAAGCCUUUCAGCAAACUUUCUCUCAUGUCUCAUUGUGAUGGAUACUUGUGCUUAAACCAGACAUUGAUACAGGAAAUGGAACGUCCUAAGGGCAGACCAGUCAUCCCUGUUCCCUGGGCUGAAGGUGGAACCAUGCUCCUCUAAAGGAUAUGAUCACAGACAGGAUGGUAGACAGCUGAACAAAAUUGAGGUUCUGUUAAGUUACGACAAAUAACUGCCUGAAGCCCUUCAUUCUGUUUCCUUUAAAAAAUCUUUUUCUGCAUUUUCCUGACUGAAAACUAUAACAAAUUGAAGCCAGAUAACAACACUCAGUCAUUCCAUCUUUAUUGGAAAUUGGGGGAAUGCACUGAUUUGUUUUUUUAUCGUGGCAAUAUCAAAACCCAUUGCUGUCGAAUCAAUUCCGACUCAUUCUGACCCUACAGGACAGAGUAGGGUUUUCUCCUGGAGCAGUUGCUGAGUUUGAACUGCUGACCUUUCAGUUACCAGCUGGCGCUUAAUCACUGCACCCCCAGGACACCUUAGCAAUAUCAAAGUUUGCGUAAAAAUGGAAAUUGAGCUUUGAUGGUAAUUUUUUUUUUUUUUUUAAAUCACUGAGAUGCCAGGGCUUUUCUGCCAUACUUUUAGCAAAAUGGUUAUUUCCACUUCCUCAAUUAUAUUUUCUUAUGUGGGCUGUUCUCAGGUGUAUACUGAAGGGCAGAAUGAAUAUAUAUUUGUGAUUGAAACCUUCGUAUUUUCCUGAAACACUUUUGCCAUCUUCAUCUAUUUGAUCAUGUAUAAUUAAAUUAAAAUGUAACAACUAUUUCACUGUUAAAAAAAAAGUAGAAAAGAAGCCUGCAUCACACACUACGGAAAUGUUCGCCAUUUCCUUACUCUGUCUUGCAGUGGCAAUAUUUAUUAUAACACACCGGUGGUGCCUGAGUGGAGUGCCUUGUAUAAUUCAUCACCCAGACACCUCUGCUUUAGCAAGUAAAAAUAACACAGACGAGCAAUCUGAAGGACUCUUUGGUGUGCAGCAGCAAUUAGAAUAGACACUUAACUCUGGGACAUUGGUGUUUUUGUACAUUGAGAAGUACCAUCCAUCACUUUCAUCAUUAGUCAGGAAGUUCUGGCUAAAGAAAGCUCAAGAAAAUUAGCUUUUGACAAUUAAACUUCUUAAAGACCUUUUUCUCCUUAAUACAAGCAGUCGCCAUAUUCCAUGUAAAGUGAAGACUCACAGAUCUCAACUGCACCUUGGAUUUUCAUGUUCUGCUUUCAUAUUCUACUUCAAUGUUAAGUGUAAACAAACAAACAAAAAAUAAUGAAUGAUCAAACUGCAAUCCUGGCUUUAGAAAGCUAGUCUACUUUUGACCGAGAUUAAAAUUGUCGUAGAAGGAAUAUAGAAGUCAUUUGGUCGUGAUUGUUUAGAAUAAUUAUAAAACUGGUAUCAGGAUUUUUAAUAGUAUUAUCACAAGACAGCAGGACAUAAUGUAAGAUAUCAUAGCGACCCUAUGUACAGUAGAACAAAACACUUCCCAGUCCUGCACCUUCCUUACAUUUGUUGCUGUUUGAGCCCAUUGUUGCUGCCACUGUGUCAGUGCAUCUCGUUGAUGGUCUUCCUCCCUUUUGCUGAAUCUCUGCUUUACCAAGCACGAUGUCCCUCUCCAGGGACUGGUCCCUCCUGAUAAAAAAAAAAUGUCCAAAGUACAAAGAUGAAGUCUUAUCAUUCUCACUUCUAAAGAGCAUUCUGUCUGUACUUCUUCCAAGACAUAUUUGAUCAUUCUUCUGGCAGUCUGUGGUAUAUGCAGUAUUCUUUGCCAACACCAAUAUUCAAAGACAUCAGUUCUUCUUUGGUCUUACUUAUUCAUUGUCCAGCUUUCACACAUGAUGCUUGGGUCAGGUGCUCAAAGUGACAUCUUAGUCCUCAAAGUGACAGCUUUGCUUUUUAACACUUUAAAGAGGUCUUUUGGAGCAGGUUUGCCCAAUGCAUUACGUCUUUUGAUUUCUUGACUGCUUUUUCCAUGGGCAUUGGUUGUGGAUCCAAGUAAAAUGAAAUCCUUGACAAUUUCAAUGUUUUCUCCAUUUAGCAUGAUGUUACUUAUUGUUCCAGUUGUGAAGAUUUUUGUUUUCUUUAUGUUGAGAUGUAAUCCAUACUGAAGACUGAAGACUAUAGUCUUUGAUCUUCAUCAGUAAGUGCUUCAAGUCCUCUUCACUUUCAGCAAGCAAGGUUGUGUCAUCUGAAUAUCAAAGGUUGUUAAUGAGUCUUCCUCCAAUACUGAUGCCACGUUCUUCUUCAUAUAUUCCACCUUCUGGGAUUAUUUGCUCAGCAUACAGAUUGAAUAAGUACGGUAAAAGGAUACAACCCUGACACACACAUUUCCUGAUUUUAAACCACACAGUAGCCCCUUAUUCUGUUCAAAUGACUGUCUCUAGGUCUAUGUGCAGAUUCCUCAUGAGCACAGUUAAGUGUUCUGGAUUUCCCAUUCUUUGCAAUGUUAUCCAUAGUUUGUUAUGAUCCACACAACCAGAUGCCUUUGCAUAGUCAAUAAAACACAGGUAAACAUCCUUCUGGUAUUCUCUGCUUUCAACCAAGAUCCAUCACAUACCAGCAGUGAUAUCCCUCUUUCCACGUCCUCUUCUGAAUCCAGCUUGAAUUUUUGGCAGUUGCCUUUUGAUGUACUGCUGAAACCAUUUUUUAAUUAUCUUCAGCAACAUUUUACUUGCGUGUGAUAUUAAUGAUACUGUUCUAUAAUUUCCACUUUGGUUGGAUCGCCUUUCUUUGGAAUGGGCACAUACAUGGAUCUCUUCCAGUUGGUUGGCCAGGUGUCUGUCUUCCAAAUAUGUUGGCAUAGAAGAGUGAGUACUUCCAGUGUUGCAUCCGUUUGUUGAAGCAUCUUAGUGAUAUUCCGUCAAUUCCUGGAGCCUUGGCUUUUUUCACCAAUGCCUUCAGUGCAGCUUGGUCAUCUUCCUUCAGUUCUGUCAGUUCUUGAUCACAUUCUGCCUCCUGAAAUGGCUGAAUGUCAACCAAUUCUUUUUGGUACAGUGACUGUGUGUAUUCCUUUCAUCUUCUUUUGAAAGAAGAGUCAGAAGCCCUGUGUAAUAGGUCUUUUGUCAAGACAGUUAGCCAUGUUGCUCCUUAGUCUUUGCAUCUAUAAAAUGGGGAAAUCAUUAUUAUACCUGAGAUUCAGAUUAAUUUUUAAGAAGUUAAAGUGCUUUGUUAACUGUGAAAUGCUCUACCGGUAGAAGAAAACAUGAUUAUGAAGAUGCACACCUGCAUAUUGCAGGUUGUAAAUGAGUCUUCCUCCAAUCCUGAUGCCAUGUUCUUCUUCAUAUAGUCCAGCUUCUCAGAUGGGAGAAACCAAGAUGCAUCCAUAGCAAAGCCAAAUCUUUUUCUGUGUAUUUAGUGGCUCUUGCAAGAACCUGAAGUUCUGUGGUGUUCUAUUUGUGUUUCAGAAGGUAAUGCUUGUAGAUAACUCUUCCAAUCACAAUGACAUUUUUAUCUUAAUAAGUGAUUAUUGAAAGAGAUUACAUUUGGCAGUUUAAAAGGAGACUAUGCAUCUCAAAUGCAUCUCAGCUAUAAUGAAAAUCAUUUAUGUUUAUCAUAAUUUUUUUUUUUGGACUUACUCCUUUUACAUUAUUUUUGAAAAGAUGCAUAACUGGGAAAAAUCCAUUCCUGUUGCCUCUUAGCCAGAGUGGAUUAUAGACUGAGAAAAACACAUGGUGCAGUCGCCCCACCUCAUAAUGAAGGGACAUAUGGAUAUGUUUUAAAAUGCAGAUUCCCGUUGUCUUCUCCUUCUGCCUGGUGGAAAGAUUUGCCUUUAGGUUCAUGUCAAAUGUCAGCUCUGGGGUGACUAUUCUCCUGACCCCCCACUCCUCCCCUGCUGGUGGGGGAUAUCACAUCCUCCUCAGAACUCUUGUAGCACUUUACCCCUACUUUGUUUUGCUUUCUAUUUAGUAAUAAUUAUUCUUAAUUCCUGGCCUUACUUAUCCCAAAAUUAAAGUGGUUUUUGAAAUUGUAAAAAAAAAAUUAAAAAUAAAUAAAAGGUGAAAACAAAGGAAAGUAAGAACUAAAUGAAUUAAGAGUGUUUGCAAAGUGUACAUUGUGAACGCCUUUGUAUUUUCUAGUGGUAGACCCUGAAUUUGGCUCAGUGACUUGUGUGUCCCAGGGAAGUAAGAGCAGUUCAAUAAUAGAAAAUAGUGUACCAUCUCAGAUGAAUAAGGUCACUGUGAAAACCCCCAUGCUAAUUUCAAUUGAUGCUUAUGUUGUAUUUAAUCACACUUAAUGCCAUUUGUGAAAAAUUAUGGAGUAGGGCACUUUCCUAUUAUGAAAUAGGGCACAAUAUCAUAAUAUAGCUACUGUAAAGCAACAAGCCAGCAUCAUAUUUAAAAUGGUAACACCAAAACAGCUUUCCCAAUAAAAACUGUAAUUCAGACAGGAUGCUAAUGUUCCCCAUUAUUAUCUCUCCUUGAUAUGGAAGUCAUAAAGAAAUAGAGGUGGAGUUCAUGGAAAAAAACAAAGUGUUUUAAAUUGUAAACAAUAAGACCAUAUAUCUAGAAAUCCCUGAAAAAGCAACUAAAAAGCUGAUAGAAUUAAUGUAAUUUAGAAAAGCAGUUAGAUACCAGAUAAAUAAAACUUAAUAGCCUUUCUGUAUGCCUGUAGUAAUUAGUUAUAAAAUGGGGGGGGGGGGGAGUUAUCUCAUUAGCAGUAGCAACAAAAAUGUAAACUGCCUUAGAAUACUCCUAACAGGAGACAUCUUAGACUUUUAAACUGAAGAAAACUAAGAUUUUACUGAAAUAUGCAACAGAAAUGUCAAGUAAAUAAAAUAGUUUAUUCCUGGUGGGAAAACAUUAAUAUUGUAAAAAAAGAUGUUCGUUCCUCCAAAUUAGCGUACAGGCUCAUAUCUCAUUCAAAAGUACCAGUGAAAUUUGGAGUGAAAACUUCAUCAUGACUCUAGAGUUUAUUUGAAAGAGUAAGAAAGGUGAGAAUUGGUCAAAGGGACUGAUUAAAAAAAAAUAAAAAGAACAAUGAAAAAAGAAAGGAAAUUACAGUAUUUCUCUUUUUUAGAACUUUUUUUAAAAUUUUGCAAGAAAAUCCAAAGAACUCAUGUGUACAUUUCCCUAGGUUUACCUAUUGUGUUAAAUUUUGCAAUACUUGUAAAAAUAAAAAUUGAAGAAAUAUUAAAAAUAAAGAAAACUAUUUGAAAUCUGAUCUGACUUUGGCCUGCUGUCUCAGAGAGCAAAGGUGUUAGAGGCCUUUUAAUCUUAAAACAACAGAAAUCAGGAUACCAAACUGCACUGAAAUAGUGAUGAAAUGCUAACCUCUAAAGUUUUUUUAAACCAAAUAAACGUGAGUAAAAUAACCAAAUGGGAAAAAAAAAAAAGUCAUACCUAGAGAGAAAGUCUUAAGCACACUUCCAGGAGAUGCCAUGGCUUCCUAAAGUGUCAUUUCCCCCGGAAGUCCCCAGUGGGUGGGGGAGAAGCGGGAGGACAGAAAGCACUAAGGCACCUUUUACUUCUCACCCUUAACCUGGAGCCUUUGGAUGUAAAGAUUAACCUGAAUGUUGAAGUCCCUGUAUUAGGAUGUAAAUGCCAGUCAGGUCUGCCAGCCCUGGCUCUUGAACUCUCAUCAGGAACCACUUGCUGACUCGAAGAUUGCUAGAAAGGAAUUUUUAAAAAGGUAAUAACAGUAAUAAUAAUAAUAUGACCGCUGCUAUUACAUGCUUUCUAUAUCGCAGACAAUACAUUGAGGUCAACACUUUGCACACAUUACUUGUUAACAAGUAAUCUGACAACAUCUCCAUUUACAAAUGAGGAAUCUGAGCCUCUGGGCUAGGUUAAGUAACCCUAGGGCACACAGGCAUUCCAAAAAACCGAGCAAACCCGUUGCCCUUGAGUCGAUUCCGACUCAUAGCAGCCCUAUAGGACAGAGUAAAACUCCCCACCUAGGGUUUCUAAGGAGUGCCUGGUGGAUUUGAACUCCCGAAUUUUUGGUUAGCAGCUGAACUCUUAACCACUACACCACCAGGGUUUCCAAAUGCUUUUAAUUAUUUUAACUACAGGUAGUCCCUGACUUAGACUUAUUCAAGAGUUACAAGGAACUGCACUUAGAACCUUCUUUUUUUUUAUGAUUUGUGUAAUUUUUAUGUAUGUAUUAAAAUUUAAAAUACAUCUGGAAGUUUAUAUAGUGUUUCCAACCCCCCAAAACAAAUAAAUAUCAAAUAGAAGGCAAUAAUAAUAAAAACAAAAAAAUGUGAGGUGUUUGACUUAGGUUAGAACCAGUGUGCCCCGCAGUUAAGUCUGGGACUACCUGUGUUAUGGGAAACUGUUGUGCUGUUUGCUCUGAAUCGUUAUCCCCUAUCAACUCACUGCUUUCAUUUUUUUUUUUUUUUUUAGUGAAAGUCUUCCUUACAGAUGAUAAGCUUUCUGAGGACUAGACUCAUAGUGAAUUCAUCUUCUAUGCUCUGCGUAUAGUCAGCAUUUAAUAAAUACUUGUUGCAUGAAUAUAGUAGCUUUCUAUUUGCUUCAGGGUCAGUUCCAAAAAUAUUCUUCAGACAUCCUUAAAUUUUUGAUGAACUUUGUGUUUUACCCUCAAGCCUGCCAGACAGCAUCCAUUUUUUUCCCUGAAGUUAGUGAGAAUGAUUUCUACAGAAGGGACCCUCCUCAUCCCUUCCUUCCCCUUCCCUUCCUCCUCUGGGUAGCUUGGUGGAGAAGACCCACUGUGAUCCAGAUUUGCAUUAGGAAAUAUCAAUACUGCAGUAUGUUCCCCAAAGAGGGAAAGAGGAUCUAUUUUCAAUCCUGUGUUUCAGAAUCCACAGAUGUGUGACUUCCUAAUUUACUAUACCUCAACUGCCUCCAGAGAGCUCUUGGCUUGGUCUGUGUUUCCCUUAUCCACAGGGGAAAUGAGCUUGGUCUCUGGUUGGCCAGGACUCCAGUGAGGAUUCAGAAAGGCCAGUCAACGGUGCUUCUCCAAAGAUACCUCUUUUACCAAAGGCGCGCCUGGCCACCAGGAUUUGCGGGGAGUCUGGUGCCCUGAGAUGGCUGCUGCAGGCUGGGAACCAACCUCCUUCCAAGAGCAGGGCAGCUGGCUGUGCAUCUCACUGCGGUGUGCUCUCCCUGCCUUUCACUCCUUUCCGGCUACCUGCAGAGAGCAGGACCCAGCUUUGGAUCCAGGCAAACAGUCACACCCAACGUGGCUUUUCUUAUAUAAUUUGGCUUUCCACGGGUUUUGGCCAUAAAGGCAGAUUGCAGCUGUGGCCUGAGCAUCUUUAGAAGUGUGAAUCAUUUCUUUUUUUUUUUUUUUCCCCAAAGAAGCUAUUUAGAGAAUUAUGAUCACAUAUUUCCAUGUUAUUUUUUUAUAGAGUGAGUAAGGAGAAUGACUUGCAUUUUUUUUUUCCCCUUUAAAUAGAAAAAUCUGCCUGUGUCUAUGCUCUUUUAUCUUGUGUAACCUGGGCGGGUGGUUCCUGAACUCGGCUGUGCAUCAGAGUUACUUGGGGGAGUUUUUUGAGAUACAAAGUUCUGAAAUCAAAUCCAGAAAUCAGUUUUUUUUUUUUUUUUUUUUCUUAAUAAACUCUCCAAUUGACUUGUAGGCAGCAAAACUGGUCCCUUCCAAGUUUGGGACUCUCUUGUUGGAUCUUCCCCCGCCCCCACCCACUGUGGUAAUUUGGAUCAUGGUUAAAAGGUUAUCUUUAGGAGGUCCCUUGGUGGUACAGGUGGUUUGCAUUGGGCUACUAACUGAAAGGUUGUUGGUUGGGAUUUACCCAGCAAUCUACUUUUGUAAAGAUGGUUUUUUUAUAGCCAAGAAAACCCUAUAAAGCAGUUCUACUCUGAAACACGUGGGUUGCCAUGAGUUGGAGUUGACUCGAUGGCAUCUAGUUUGUAUGGGGUAGUAAGAGCUCUGGAGCGGGUAUUAGAAGACCUAGAUUCGAGUCCUGGCUCCAGUGCUAUUAUUUUUUUCUUUUAAUUUUCUGUUGAUACUAUGUGCGUUUUCAGUAAUGGAAGACAUGCUGAAUCAUUGAGUAUGUCUGAAUUUUUGGUGUAAUAUGGUUUUUGGUUUAUGCCUCAUUCCACAAAUCAUACCCUCAGAGUCCAGAGGUACAUAUGCAUACCAAAUAAAAAUUUUUUUAAUUUAUGUUUUUCAUAUGAAAAAUUUAGUGAUUCAGUGUCAUCUCGUACAAUACCCUGUAAUAACAGGAAUUUAGACCACAUGCCAAUUUUUUUUUUCCCCCAUUUUGAACUGUUAUAUAGGGCCCUGCCUGCCAGCAGCACAUACUGUCAGUGGGACAGCAGCUUCCCAAUGAACCCCAGAGGUACAAAAAAACUUAAGUGGCAGCUAUAUAUACCACCGUUCCUGAAAAGGGGUUAGUAAAUGUGUUUUCCCACCCUGAAUUUUUUCCUCCUUUGAAAUAUCAACUUUAUUGCCAGCAAAAAGUCCUUUGAAAGGAAUUAAAUCUUAAUUUUGCCAGAACAGAGAAAGGAAGUGACAAAUACGUGUGUGUGUGUAUUCCUCUGACUUCUCUAUUCCCUGCUUAGCUGAUUGACUGUCUUUCCCACCUUGACAUUCUCUAGGCUGUUGCCUCUCCAUGAUGACAGCAAUGCUGUCAGGGGCUGAAGCAGUUGCCUGGCCCAUCCCUAACUGGGAAUAAGAGUGUUUAAAUUGAUCUAAGUUUGGAGGAAGAAAUAAGCCUAAAUCCAAAUGCUACUUUAAAAUUUUUGCAAGUCAUAGCCAUUUUCAGCUGGAGAAACACAGCUUUACUGUGUCUUUGGUUUUCAUAAGCUGUUUAAUAGUUUGAGGAAUUGCUUUUUACUGUAGUCACGCCAUUUUAUGAAAGUUUGGGACUUCUCUAGAGAUUUACAAAUUGUCUACAAAGUUUUGUUUUUGGAAAGGGCACCAGGGUGAGUAGUCAGUCAGUAAAUACGGUUAACAUUUUAGGCACCCAGGAUAUAGCAGUCAAAUAAAAAGGCUACCAUCCAUGCCUUUAAGGAAUUUCCUUUUUAGUUGGAGAAAAACAGACCAUAAACAAAUAAGGAAGGCUGUCAGAUGGUAAGCAAUGCAGUGGAGAAAACCAAACUGGGAAGAGAGAUGGAGCACUCAAGAAUUCAUCACUGAGAAGGUGAUGUUGCCCAAAACUGGGUGAAUUGAGGGAGUGAGCCGAGAAAAUAUCUGGCUGAGGCUUUUCCAGAAAGAGGAAACAGCAGGGUAAAGGCCCUGAGGCAGGAGCACCCAGUGUGGGAAAGAAAGAGCAAGGAGGUCAAGGUGGUUGGAGGGAGUGAACAAGGGAGAGAAGCCGGAUAUGAGGUCCUGGAUAUAAGAGGGUCCGAUUCUUUUGCAGGAUCUUGCAGACCCUGACAACCACUUUAGCUUUUACUCUGUGUGAGACUUGAGCAGACAUGUGAAUUAUGUGACUUACAAUUUAAAGAAUUAUUUGACUGCCUUGGUGGUGUAAUAGUUAAGCACAAGGCUGCUAACCGAAAAGUUGGCGGUUCAAACCCAUCAAUGUUUCCGUGACAGAAAAGACCUGGCAAUCUGCUUUUGUAAAGAUUACAGCCUGGGAAACCCUGUGGGACAAUUCUACUCUCACAUAGGAUCACUGUGAGUCAGAAUAGACUCAAUGGCACCCAACAACUAUUGAGAUUAGAUUGUAGGAGGGACAAGGAUAGAAGUAGGGAGACCAAUUACACAGCUACUACAGUAAGUUGAAGGAUAGUGGAGAUACUGAAAAGUGGUUGGAUUCUGGAUAUAUUUUAGAGGUAGAGCCAACAGGAUUUUCCUGACAGCCUGGAUGUGAGAUGUGAAAUAAAAAGAGUCAAUGAACAAUCAGAAGCGUGGAGUUGUUAUCAAGGCUGAUAGAAGGACAUAGAAGAUCAACAGUUCUGUUGUGGUAUGUUAAUUUUGAGAUGCCUUUUGGACAUCCAAAUGGAAAUUAUGAUUUCAGUAGAUAUACCAUUUUAUUACCAGUCUAGACUAGAGAUCGGGGAAUAGUUUUGGGCUAGUGAUUUAACCUUGGGCAUCAUCAGUAUAUACUAUUUGCCAUUGGGUCAAACCUGACUCAUGCCGACUACACAUGUGUCAUACUAGAAUUGUGCUCCAUAGGGCUUUCAAUGGCUGAUUUUUCAGAAGUAUAUCACCAGGCCUUUCUUUUGAGGCACCUCCAGGAGAACUCAGAACUCCAACCAUUCAGUUAGCAGCUGAACACCUUAAUCAUUUGCACGAGCCAGGAUCUCCCAGCAGCAUGCAGAUGACAUUUAAAGCUAUUAAGACUGGAUGAGAUCACCAGAAAGGCCCCAGGAUUGAUCCCUGAAGCACCCAAAAAUUUGGAAGUUGGGAGAAGAGGAAGAACUGGGAAAGAGAGUGAGUGGGGCAUGAAGGAGGUAGGAAGAGAACCAAAAGAAGCCAAGUGAAGAAAACCUUCACUGAACAGUUCAGGGUGAUGGAGAGAUCACCUGUGUCAAAUGCUACUAGUAAAGUUAAAUGAGAAUUGAAAAUUGAACAUAGAUUUUAGCAACAUAGAGAUCAGGAGCGACCUGAACAAGAGUAGUUUCAUCGGGGUGAUGAGGGGAGGAAGCCUGGUUGGAUGGGUUAAGAGAGCAGAAGCAGAGGGACUGGGACAGUGAGUACACAUGAGUCUGCUCAGUGUGGUCUGUACCUUGCUGUGAGCAUUUAGAAACUUCUGUAGCAAUUUGACUUUGCUACAGCAUCCAAGCACGACCGCUUUUCUAGUGAUGAACUUUUAUUAUAUUUCACAAGAGUGUCUCUUUGUAAUCAAAGACUAGAAAUUAAAAACUAACAAACUGGUCCUUCACCGCAGAUAGUUUGAGAGGUACUGGUGUAGAUGACUCUUUAAAGGGGUUUUGCUUUACAGUGAAGCAGAAAAAUAACGUAGAAGCUGGAGACGAACUUAAAAUCAAGGUUUUUUUGUUUGUUUGUUUUAAUAGUGAGAGGAAAUUUUAUGUGCUGAUAGUAAUGAUUCAAGAGAGGGGAAAAAUUGAUGAUUAAGAAAAAAGACCUGUAUCUCUGUGGCUAUGUCUUUGCACACAUUUUUAAUUGUUUCAUUUGCUAUAUGUCUACCAGUGGAUAUGGAAUCAAGCAGUGCUUGCUUUUAUUUAUAUCCUCAUUGUAGAAAAAUUUAAAAGUGCAGAAAAACAAAACUAAUAAUCUUCCAUUAUUCUACCACCAAGAGAGAUUGUUACAAAUAUACUAUUCCACAGUUUUUUUGUUAUUAAAAUGAGAUUAAAUGAUACUAUUUUUUUAUAUGUUAUUCUUUGACAUUUAGUAUAAUGUGGCUUUCUUUUUACAAUUCUAAAUAUCUAAAUGCAUCAUUAUUUAAUGGCUGCUUAGCAUUUCAUUGUGUGGGUCUACUAUAAUUAAUUUGACCAGACUCCUAUUGUUGGACCAUUUCUAGUGAGAAAUAGCACUGGAAUAAACAUCCUUGUAAUUCCAUCUGAUUAUUUCCUGAGAAUUAAUUCUUAGAAGUCCUAUGUCAAAUGGUCUGAAAUUUUAAAGCUUUUUAUUCUUUUGCAAAAUUUGCCCCUAGAUAGACCAAGGCACUUGCACUCCACUAAGUAGUCCACGUAUAUUUAGAUACAAGGAUACAUGGUUCGACACAGUUUUUUAAACUACUGAAAAAAACGAGGGUGGGGGGAGAAAUUUUAUUGAGAUUGUGGGGUAACGGGUAAUUAUAUAGAGAGAGAUAUUAAGAUAGAUGGAUACCUAAUAGAUGUAGAUAGGUGGGCACCUAAUAGACAGAAAUAUAAUAGAGAUUUAUAGAUAGAGAGGUCGUCGAUAUUUAUAUACACCAGGGCCACGUUGUGAUUUUUGUAGGCCCUAGGCACGUUUACCUUUGCGGGCCUCUUCCUCUGUAAAUGAUAUUAAAAUUUGUAUUUUUCGAUUGCCUUGACAUAAAGAUGAAAAUAAUCCAGAAUGGAUUCCUUACUCUGUUCCUUGUUAAUACAUAUUUUUUUCCUCUGAUUUUAAAAGAAAAUACUUUCAUGGCCCAUUAAAGUAUUGGGGUUCCUACACACAGUGCCCUAAGGAUAAGGUGACCCUGAUUAUGCUUAUCUCUACUUUUAAUAUUUUCUAUAAUGAUUAGGUAUUAUUAUAACAUAAAAAAUAAAAGAAAAAUGUCAAAGUAAAUUUAUAAAUAUCCAUGUCCCUCAAAAGGUUUCUCUUCCUUUCUCUGCAAGAAAAGAGAUACAUUCGUCUUUUCUCAUAAGUCCCACCUCAUUUCCCUCCCUGACAGUGGGCUAUCCAGAAGACCUGGCUUUUGCUUUGUAGAAAAAGUAAAAGAAACCAGAGGAGGGCAAGGAAAGCCUCUAGCUUUGCACGCACCCCUGCUGCUACUCCCUCCUGGAUCAUCCCUAGCCUCACCAUUCACCUAGUUCUGUGCCCCUGAUAGGUGAUACCAUGUUCAGUCACAGCCUUACUUUCACAACCAGUCACUAACCAAGUCCCACCAUUCUAGCACUUAAAUAUUUAUGUCUCCUGAAUUUUCCACAUUUCCACUGGCAUUCCCUGAAUUCAGACUCCCAUCUCACUGCCUCCAUACUUGACCCCUCUAAUCCAUUCCUGCUCCUUUCUGCAGCCUUAGCAUAAAUCAGAUCUGUUUAAAAUCCCUCUUGGAAUAAAGCACAAACUUCUCACUAUUAUCACACUACAGCAAGCCCAAUACAAUAUGCUUUCUCUCCAUAUUGGACCUUUGCACACACUGGCUUCCUUCUUCUGUUCAUUGCCUGACCAAUGCCUACAACCUUCUUCAGUCCUCAAUCCCUGGUAGCACCCCUCCCCCCGUCACCCCACAUCUGAGCUAUUUCCUGUACUAUUGAGGCACAUCUUACACUAUAUUAAAAUUACAUGUUUACUGGUCUGUCUUUGCAGGUUUUCUCUGUCCAAUUAGUGUCAGGUCCAUCCAGAUUCCAUUAUAAGGCUGUCUCAUCAAUCCAAAACAUGUGUACAAUUUCAGAGAGGCUAUGUUGGGGGCAGCUAGCGGGUGCCAUAUUGGAUUGGAUAAAGGAUAGUUUUGUUAGUAAGUUGGGCCACUUGGCUCCGGGGCCAUUAGGUGACCAGUUAAAUGGCCAAUAAAGCCUCCCAGUCAGAACAAGUAAUGUCACAUGGAAUGAUAGAAGGCGGAGUGAUAGCCAUGGUGCUAGACACAGAGUGAGUGCUCAGCAGAUAUUGCUUAUUACCAGCAUCACAAUGAAGCUAGCACUGGGAAUCCAGCUGGCCAGAGGCUGCCCUCUGUCCUGCUAUGGGCUGUCUGUGGGGUGGCCCCAGGCUCACAGGUGUCGCUGACAGUGAGGUGGAGGUCAGACACCAGCAGAUGAGCUCUGCUCUUGCCAGAUUCUCACCAACUGGACUAAAGAUCUUUGUUCUCUUUAUGUGCAAGUAGAUCUCACGUUUCUUUGCUGCCUCCAACCUUGAGGAAAAGUCAGAAUCGUAAGCAAUGACACUUACUGACCUAUUUUGGCUGGCUAGGGAUUGGUCUUUCAGAUGAUGAGAAAUGAGUAAAAACAAACAACAAAUCCUCUGGCUGUUGACUCAUUGUUCUUCCCUCUUAGAACGUUGGUCAUCGUGGAUGGUGAGAUGGUAACGCGGGAACCUUGGGCUCAUUUUCUUAUUUCAUCUUCUGCAGUGGGGUUGUCAUUUUUAUGCUUAAGAUAAUACCUUAGUUUCUUUUUUUUUUUUUUUUUUAAUAUUCCUCUUGAGUUAAGACCUUGAUUCAUUUGAUUUCUACCUUUGAAUAGUUCAUGAGAUGUGGUUGUAGGCAUUUCAUCUCAAGAAAUAGGAAAAAAAAUAUGUGGAAACGAGGCAGUCAAAUGGAUUACUCUCAUGAAGUAAUUGCCAAUAGUGACUCAUCAGAGGGUAAGAAAAUCACUCUAGUGAAUUUUGAAUAGUGCUUUUAAAAGUGGAAUAAAAUAAAUGUUAGAGCGUCUAAUGAGUAGCAAAGGCAAAUUCUUCACUAAAUCUAAUGUAUUACAUUCAUCUGGGUGUGUAUAUGGUGUUGCAGUACAAAAUGUGUUUAUUUUAUUGUGGGUCACAGUUCAAAAAGUACAAAAGUCUCCAUUGUUAAGACAAUUCACCUUGAAAUUACUUAAUAGAGCUUGGCCUGUGUUCGUGUUAGUGCAUGCACGACACAUUCUAUGACUCUGUCAGGGUUUAUCUUAAGGAAUGAGUUGCCCAUCAUGCACUGGUACCGAUGGGGCUGAUCCUGUCCACAGAGAGCUUCUGCAAGACUUAUGUUCUCAUCUCCUUCGUGGGUACCACUUCUGGCUCUUCAUUAUGUUCCCUGGGUGGUGCAAAAUGUUUGUGCUAGACUACUAACCUGAAGGAGCCCUGGUAACACAGUGGUUAAGAGCUGAGCUGCUAACCAAAAGGUUGGCAGUUCAAAUCCACCUGCAGCUCCUUGGAAACCCUAUGGGACAGUUCUACUCUGUCUUGUAGGGUCACUAUGAGUCAGAAUCGACUUGACCAAAAAAGCCUAGUUUGCUUGGUUUUACUAAUCUAAAGGUUGGCAGUUCCAACACACCGAGUGGCACCAUGGAGGGAAGGCCUGAUGAUCCGCUUCCAUGAAGAUUAUAGCCAAGAAAACCUCAUGGAGCAGUUCUACUGUGUAACACAUGGGCUUGCCAUAGGUCGAAUCAACUCAACAGCAGUGGGUUUGGUUUUUGGUUUUAGCUUCUCUUAGAAGGGUUUCUUUAUAGAGUAGAAAAAUGAGAAUUAUGUAUGUGAUGUUUCUUAUGUGUACGUAAGAGGGAACCGCUGAACAUGUCCUAAAAUAAGAGGACAGUGUCAGCCCUUUGUUAGCUGCCAAAUGUGACUUCAGACUCACUUUCUUGAAGCUUUAAUCUGAAAACUAGUUUCUGAUUUAUUUCAAUGUUUUAUCAGUUUUUAAAAUAUUUCCAAAUGAAAAGCUAUCACCCACUGUUUACGUAAAAUCCUUGCAUCUACAACCCAAGCAGAAAUGGCUGGUUAGAUGAUAAACGCCCUUCAUUCCUCUUGAGCUGACUCCAUGCACAGUCGAGGGAAUGCAGAUGGGAGUAAGCGGGACAUGAGAAAGCAAUUCCGAGGUCCCAACUAAUAAAAAAAUCUUUGAAUAGUUAUUCACUCCCACUCAGACAGAGGUCUGUGGGAAAUUUCCUAUUGCUUCAGGCCUUUAAAGGCUCCAUAAUCUAGCUUCCAUCUGCUUUUCUGACCUUACUUUUUAAUACAUCUCAAGAGAAACUAAAGACCAAAACCAACUUACAUUUUGUGUUGAUAUAGCCCAUUUGCAGCUCCCUAAACAAGUCAGACUGCCUCAUUUGUGCCUUUGCUCCUUGGCAUUUUCUCUCUCCAGCUGCUUUUGGUCUAAUAUCAACCCCGUUUGCAAGGCCCAGGUUAUUGCUCAGCCCCACCACAAAACCUGUGGGGACCCCUCCAAACUUGAACUCAAUGCACUUGAGCUGAGCACCUACCAUGCUCCAAGCACAUAUGAUCAAAAAGAAGACCUGAUUCUUGUCUUCAUCAUCUCCCUCCUGAGAACCCAACUUGUAGAAUUUUAGGCAAAUGGUUACUGAGCAUCUACUAUGUCCCAGACCUUGUACUAGGCACUGGGACUUUACUGAUUUGUCGAAGAUAAUCUAAAAGUGAAUUGUGGAAUUCUGUUUAUGCUUCUUGUUAAUAUAGAUUCUAACAUUUGUGUCUUUAUGCUUCCUGUUGUUAACCAACAACCAUGUGAAUAAAGACUAUUUAUGGGUACAUAACAGCAAAGAGGAAUUCUAUAAAAGAGAAAUAAAGAGUAAUAAAGCUAUUUUCCCACAGUAACCCUUUGAUUUAUACUACUGUUUAGACAAGUGAUCUAUUAUAACACAUAUUUUAUUCCAGAAUUUCCUUUAUUAUAAGUUUUGGAGAGGAUCAAUAUUUUUAUUUUUUUUAAUUAAAUAAUCAUAUGAUAAUUGCCGUUUAUUUUUCUCUACCAUACUCUACCAUAAAGAAAAAAGAAAAAAAAAAUCACAUGAAACCAGUACCAACAUAUAUAUUAAAUUAUAUUUUUAUUUGCAUCUGUUUACAUAUUUUUCUGAGUAUAAAAUUGAUAUAUUAAAAAAUAAAAUAAAAAAACCAAGCGCAUGUUCAUUGUUUAAAGAAGAAAAUUAAAGCCACUUAUUCCACCAGGCAUCACUAGCUGGUACAAACAGUUAAGCAGUUGUCUACUAACCGAAAGUUUGGUGGUUUGGACCCACCCAGAGGCACCUCAGAAGACAGGCCUGGCACUCUGCUUUCGAAAGGUCAUAACCUUGAAAACCCUAUGGAACACUUCUACUCUGCACACCUGGGGUUGCCACGAGUCUGAAUUGAUUGGAUGGCAAUUAACAACAUUAUUCCAUGACCUUGAGAUAACAGCUCUAGGCGUAAGGAUGUGUUUCCUUCUAGCUGGUGGUAUAUUUUGUUUCCUCACGUUAUCUGUAUAUAUACAUAUGUUUGCAUUUAUAUGCGUAUUUUUAAAAAAUGUGGACUCAUACUGCCUUGAAGUUCAGAAUCCCAUGUUUCUGGGGUUGAGGAAAGGGAAGGAGUAUAUACGUGAGGGUGGGGAUGAACGGUUCAUUCUCUUCCAUCUACAGUCCAUGUAAAUGGAAUCAUACGGUAUGUAGUCUUUGUGUCUGACUUUUUUCACUCAAUAUUUCAGAUCCAUUGAGGAAUAAUUUAAUACAGUAAAAUUUACCCCUUUAAAGUAUACAGUUCUUCCAUUUUGUGUACAGUUGUGUAACCACCAUCCCAAUCAAGAUAUAAACUCUUUUCAUCUCCUCAAAAGUUUCCUUUUGAUAUUUGUUUGCCCCUCUUGACCAGCAGUUCUCCACCAAAGGAGGAUCAUAGGGGAAAAGUGGUAACUUUAAAUCAAAGCUGGUAUCCGUAAACCUGUGGUAAUCUUAUCUAUUCAGCUUGUAGGAUCACACAGCUCUUCCUUUGUGAGAGUUUGUCCACCUUCUGAAUCAUAUAUUAUAAAAGAAUGCUACAGUAGAGAAAAUAGAUAAUAAAUGUUCCCUGCAGCUGGAUUACCACACUUUGCUUAAUCCAGGUAUGGUAGCUCCACAGGGGAGACCAUAACCCCUUCUCUGCAACAGAGCAAAGGUGGUGCCUGUCCUUCCGAAAUUCAUGACAUCAUCUUUAACUAGAAGUCGUUAAUGCCUGGAACCAAAUAAAAGAGCCUCAAGGAAAUAAAUAAGUGGUUGUAGAUAACAGCAUGAGAGUAAGCCAGCUGAUUUACUAACUAUGUUUCUAAUUUAGAAGUCCCUGAGUGGCACAGACAGUUAAGCACUUCUGAAAGGUCAAAAAACUAAAACCAAAUCCAUUGCCAUCAAGUUGGUUCCAACUGGCUAACUGAGCUUCUACUAUCAUAUUCUUGCCAAAAUAAGUUGUUUUUGUUGUUAGCUGACAUUGAGUUAGCCCACAACUCAUGGCAGCCGCGUGUGUUACAGAGUAGAACUUCUCCAUAGUGUUUGUUUUCUUGGCUGUAAUCUUUACAGAGAGAUCGCAAGGGGUUUCUUCCAUGGCACCACUUGGUGGGUUCGAACUGCUUUUGCCGCGCAGGGACCUUCCAGAAGGUCACAGACGUGAAAACCCUAUGGGGCAUAAUUAUACACUGCAACACAUGGUCACCACAAGUUGGAAUUGACUCAACAGCAACUGGUAUUUUUUUUUUCCUGUUGUUCCUAAUUUAUAGCUAUGAUCCCAAGUUUGAUACUUAAGCACAAGCUCUUAAUAUAAUACACACACACACAGAGUUCAUAGAUUUCAGCAGAAGUCAGAAAGAGGUGGUUUUUUUAGUGAAUUGACCGAGUUGAUACAUAAGUGCCCAUGUAGGCCUCGGCCCACUACUACAGUUGAAAAAGAAAUAAAGAAUAAAAAAAGAUUGCAUCUUCGUAUUAGUUUUUCUCAGCCUACCACAUCCUCUUUGUCUGUUGAUCACACUCCCACAAGAAGUCUGAAGGCUUUUGAAGCACUGCAGAGCAAAGUGACUUGAGCGCCAUGCCCUCUUCUGCUCCAAGUGGUGCCAUGAAGGCUCUGUAAUGAGUAUUUAAAAUGAUGCAUUUGCAGUUGCCUCUUUUUUAACCUCCCUCGAUUGCUAUCUCCUCACCCCCUAGAGAAAUAUCUCCCGUGUCUAACCGGAUGAGGUGAAGAAAAGGAAAUUGCAUUUAUUUUAAUCUUAAGGUUUAGCCAGAUGGGAACCAGCUUAAGUUUCAUCUGAAUAUGAUUUGAUUUUUUUCCCAUCUCACCAUCCCAUGUUGAGUUGCCUCUGACAACUGAUAAAAUUUACAUUUUCAAGCCAAUCUAGGAGUUAGGUAUAAAUAUGCAGAGUGAGCACUCAAAUUAACUCAAUGUUCUCAAAGUUAAAAAGGGUGAGAUCAGAGUAACUUCACAUAAGAAAAUUUCCAAUUUAUGCUGGUGAAGUGGAACAAAAUAGAGUAGAAUAUAGAUUUCAAAAUUCUUCCAAUUCCUAAUUUUUUAAUAGAGUAGGAACAUUCUAACAAAGUUGUUUAAUAAGUCUGAGACCCAUUGUCUCAUUAACUUUUAGGAUAAAAUUGAAGAUGAGUCUUAUUUGAAAAGAUGGUAGCAAAGAUUGAGCUGAAAAUACUUGUUAUGAGAUAAAUUAAAAUUUGGGGAAAUGUUAUGAGUUAUGAGGCAUUUGAAAUUUGAACACCUGUUAGCAGUUCACUUUUCUUUGCCACACUUAGGUACAAUUUAUGAAUGUCUAUUCUAAGGGAGCCAUGGUGGCGCAGUGGUUAAGAGCUAUGGCAAGCUACAGCUGCUAAACAAAAGAUCAGCAGUUUGAAGCCACCAGCAGUUCCUUGGAAACCCUAUGGGGACAGUUCAACUCUGUCCUGUGAAGUCACAAUGAGUCAGAAUCAACUCGACAGCAACAGGUUUAGUUUGGUUUCUUCCAAGGGAUUUCUUCAUUUCAUGCUGCAGCUACUAGAACUUUUUUGCUUUUAGUUGCUAUUGUUCUGAGUUUUCAUCGUAUCUCAUAGAUGAAGGGGCUAGAAAGUAAUGGGGUAGUAUUUGGUUUUAUACCCGUUUGAUUGAGGAUUAGCUUUCUAAUUCCAGUGGUCUUGGUCUAGAAACAGGGUUUUCUUUCUUUCUUUUUUUUUCCUCUUAACAGGCUGGUCUUUCCACAACAAACAGACUUGCAAGGUAUUGGUAAAGUAGGUUUUAUAUGAUUUCCUGCCCUACCUAGUUAGACCCAGUGGUAAAGAAAGGGAGAAAAUCUCUGCCCAAGGUAGAUAGAUAGAUACGUAGCUGCCUUUGACUCAAUUCCUGAUUCAUGGCAACCUUACGUACAACACAGAGAAGCGUUGCCUGGUCCUGCAUCAUCCCCAGGAUCAACGGCAUGUUGGAGUCUAUCAUUGCAGCAAUUGUGCCAAUCAAUCUCUCUGAAGGUCUCUCUCACCCUCGCUGGUCUUCUGCUUCACCAGACGUUAUGUCUUCCUCCAGUGAUUGAUCCCUCCUGAUGAUGUGUUUCCAAAGAAAGUGAGUCAGAGAGUGUUCCAUUGUGAUCCAUAAGGCUCGCAUUGUCUAAUUUUUCAAAGGGAUCACCAGGCCUUUUAUCCUAGUCUGUACACUCUGGAAUCUUUACUGAAACCUUUCCACCAUGGGUGACCCUGCUGGUGCUUGGAAUACUAGUGGCAUAGCUUCCAGGAUCAGAGCAACAUGCAAGCCACCACAGACAAAAAGGGAAUGAUAUGUAACAGAUUCUCACUGUUCGAUGCAGUACAGAAUGGGAGUGGAGUUGUUCCUACAAUGUGGAGGCUCCCAAAGAGCUUCAGCUGUGGUCUUGGGCUGCCUGGCAGAGGACUGUCAGGGCAUGGUUCUGACUCUUGUCUGGAGAGCACAAGCGUUGGGGACAAGUGAGCAGUCCUUUUAAAAUGAGGUAAUUAAUAACACUAUCAUAUUGCAAAUGCAAGGUGGUUACUUAAUUUCAAACCGCUAUUUUAUAAUUAAUUUUCAUCAGCCACAUAUUUACAUUUAAAGUCUACAGGCUUCAAGUAAUUUGGGGAUCAUCUGAUGACCUAAGGGGUAGUCUCAUUACUAUGUAAUAUUUGCUUAAGGGGUCCAGACAUCCUAAAGGAAAUUUCUCUAGGGACUCCUCAAGAUAUCCGUUCUUUAAUAAGCACCACCACCUACCCUUUUGUAAACCAGCCAGAACAUUCCUUAGAUUCAUCACAUCAGAUAAUGUACCAAAUAUACUGUCCUACUCCAUCAGUCCUGUAAGUUUGAAGUAUUGUGUAUUGAGCUGAUUUCUGAGUUACCUGUAUUUUAACUAUUUUAUUAUUUCAUAAGGUUGAUUUUCUUGUUUAUGUUUUACUCAAACAAAUGUUGAAUUUCAUUUGUCUUAAUGGACUGGGGCACAUAGGCAUUCUCAACUACAAUGUGAAGGGGUGGAAAUGUUCAGGGAUUAAUGUUGAUAACAAGUGGCAUCUAUGCUGGCACUCAGCUGUGGCUUUAUCACACCUUAGUGGAUUACACAUUAUGUAGUACUAAUAAUAGGGAAAGUACCAAGGCCUGCUAGUGAUUUCCUAGAGCAAGUUCAAGAAUGCCUGUUUUACAACGUCACUCUUACUUGCUAACAUACAUUCCAGAGAGGGAGAAAGUGGGAUAGACAGCUGGUAAGUGCACUACUCCACAGCCCAUCUCAUGUCAGUCACAGCCUCAGUUUAGGGCAGGCCUGGGAAUGGGAGGAAGCAUGUAAGCUUUCACAUGUGCCAAGGUGAAGUAGAAAACUCCCAUUCAUUUCCUCUCCAGUGCAGUGGGCAUAGGCCAAGGGAAACCGUGGCCUGUAUUACCUGUUGGCCUUCUCUGUUCUCUUAGCUCAGGAUCUUGUUUCUAAUGUUCUAAUGCAAAUGUUCUGGCUACCUCCAGAAUACUAAAUUUGGGGCUCUCUCAGCAUCAGGCAGAGGUUAGAACUGUUUUAUUUAUGGGUAAGAAUAACCUGCCUAGAGUCCAUAUUUCAGACUUAUCCUUCUGAGAUUUGUGAGUGAAUUCAGUCCAGGGACAGCCUACAAGAACACAUUCAUCACCCACAGAGCCAGCAUUUCCAGACAACUUUUUAACCUUCACAAGGUUAAUAACAAAGGAAAAUAAUUCUGCCUUUUUUUUUUUUAAGUUUUAUGAGAAUUUUCAAGCUGUUCCAGGCUAACAGCUUCAAUUUCUGGUUUGUUAAUUUUGUGAUUCCAAAGUUAAUAGAGAUAGCUGAGAGAAAAAGGAGUUCGUGCAAGAAUGUCGUCAUGUUUUAAUAGUUUGAAGCCAUUUCUGACAUUAUCUCCCUUUUUGAUUUUUUGUCUUAAGACUCGGCUUUUUCUUUUCUUUUUUUUUUUUUUAAUUUUCUUGUAAAAUAUGUAACAAAAAGUUUGCCAUUUUAACUAUUUUUAAGUGUAUGGUUCGGUGGCAUUCAUUAAUUACAUUCACCAUAUUCUUCUACUAUCACCAUGACCCAUUUCCAGAAGUUUUUCAUCUCCUUAAAAUGAAAAGACUCUUGACUUAAUUUUUUUCUGAUGGUGAAACAGAUAAUCUAUUCAUUAUAGAAAAACUUGAAAAUAUAAAAAAGAUAAAUAUCACCCCAAUAGCCAUUGUUGAUACACUUUGUAUUUUUGUACAGUUUUUUUGAUGAAUAUAUGUCUAGACAUCUUCAUCACUGUACCCCAGCAUACAGUAGAAUGUCUGAAAAGCAGUAGAUGCUCAACACAUAUGUGUGCCAUUUUAAUCAUCUCAUAUUCAUCCCAUGGAAACCCUGGUGCUGUAGUGGUUAAGAGCUAUGGCUGCUAACCAAAAGGUGUACAGUUCAAAUCCACCAGGCGCUCCUUAGAAGCUCUGUAGGGCAGUUCUACUCUGUUCUACAGGGUAGCUAUGAGUUGGAAUUGACUGGACAGCAGUGGGUUUGCCUCUUUUGGAUUCAUCCCAUUGGUGAAGGAGAGAUUUCCUCUCUAGGGUUUGGCAGUUGAGCAUAGCACCCAACACUGGACAGAUGAGAUGGACAGCAGUUUAUUAGUAACAUACAUCACAGCCUGAAGGAGGAGGAUACUACAUGCCACACAAGACCGUAUGGGAAUUGUGGUCAAGAACAAAGUGAACAACUUGGUGAUGUGGGAGGCAGGCUUUGUAGUAACAAGAGGGUAGGGUGUCCUCCAGUUCCCAUGGGCGAACAUGAUUGGCUUGUUUAAGUACUUCCACAGGCUGGCAAGGAACUGAAACUCACUACUCAGGGAUAGGCAGGAACUGAACUGGGUCGCCUUGAUAAGGAGGGCUGUUUGGUUAGGGUACCUUAUCUGUGGGAGCAGAGUAGGGAGGAGAGCUUGCAGCCAGGUCAUUCAAGGCCCUCCUGAUUUCACAAGAUGUUAAGGUAGCACAGAAUACUGGGCCUUAAAUUUAGGCCUUACACCACAUGUAGAAUGAACUGGAUGAUUAUUUCAUGUUGUUUUUUCAUGUUCCGCUUUCUUUUCAAUCAGUGGGGCAUCUUAGCACUCUUUGAUCAUAAUGUUUACUUCUAGAACAUCGUAUCUGCAGAUAAAUGUUUGGGCUGACUGCUGCCCCUCAGUAAUCAUGAAUUUAAGAGAUUUGCCUAAAUAUAAAUGGCUGCAUUUCCAUAGAAUACAUGGUUCCUGAUUUUUAUGGGGUCUUCUUUAAGUCCUGACAAAGUUUGUCUCACAUAUGCAGCUUGUACGAACUUGUUUCUGCCCCUAAAAUUGGCCAGAGAAUUUAUGCCCAAUUCCUUUUUGUUGGCAUCUCUGUGCUGCAAUCAGUCAAAAAUCUUCUUGCAGUUUAUUGUAACCUACUUAUUUUUCUUAAUGGAAUAAUGCAAGUGAAUUUCCAAGUAACAGCAAAUUAUAAACAUAUUACCCUCUGGUUUCUGUAUUUUUAAAAAUAAUUUUUUUUAUAUCCUAUAUUUUUUUUUUAUAAUUGAUGUGAACUGUUGGACCCAAUUUUCUCAGUGUCAGUGUCUCUGUGAGGCACUAAGGCCCACUGAAGCGAAGCCACGAUAGCCUCUUCAGGGAACAACCCCAGAAGGCCUGGGUGCUGGGUGCUGAGGGACAGCCACCAACUGCAGCCAGUGGCCACACAUACAGAAGGCCUUGCAUUUGAACCUGGAGAGUCACUCCCUGUCGAGCGAGAUUCCGUUUUGCCUCAUUUUCGACAUUGCUCUCAAAGUGCUAAAUAAUAGAUUCAGAGGAGUUGGGCCAUAUACCCGUGCAUGCAUGCUUGCAUUAAGGGCACAGACCUCCCAGACCCCAUGGUAACUGCAGGUUUCUGUGCUUCGCUCUUUCUUCAUGGUUGAAUAAUGGUUGAAGUCUCAUCUUCCCAGAUAGCUUGGAAGUUGUUCAAGGAAGGCAACUUUCUUAUACUUGUUUUUGUCCUCCAAUCUCCUGGGAUGGGAGCAUUUUCACUUCCAAAGUAAAUAUAUUGAAAUCUGAGAAUACAGAAGAAAAGUCUAUGCUAGAGAAAAGAAGUUGGGAGUCAUUGCCACAUGAGUUGUUAAAAUCAUCGGGUGGGUUAAGGUGGUCUCAAGAGAAGUCGGAGCAAGAAGAGUGGGAUGCAGACCCAUGGAACUCCUUCAUUAAGGGUUUUGUAGAGGAGGAAGAGGAGAAGGAACAUGCAACGGAGUGGCCAGGACUAAAGGGAGUGAAGGGUAGAACCAGAAGAUGGUGGAGGCAUUGGCAAAUGCCACAAAGAGUCAGGUUAGAGGAGAACUGAAGUGUGUCCUGGAAGACAUUGGAGACUUUAAGCAAGAGCAGUUUCCAUAGAGGGAUGGAGAUGGAAGGUAGAGUGGAACGUGUGAAGGGUAAAUGAGAGAUUGGGAAGUAGAUACCGCUGAUGGAGAAAGCUCCUUCCAGGAGCCUAUCUGUGAGGGAGUGUGAAGACAUAGGGCCAUAUUUGUUGUGUAUAUGUGUAGGGUAGGGAGUUGGAAUCCUGGAAGGUUUUUUGUUUUGUUUUUGUUGGUGUUGGUGUGUGUGUUUUGUUUAUUUCUUUAAAGGCAGGAAAAAGUAAAGCAUCUAUCAAUGAUGUGCUAGAGCCAAUUGUUAACUUUUUAGUGAGUUUGGAAGCAGAUUGAACAGUUGGCAGCUUAAAAUUGGCCAUACUGGGGGUAUUUACACCACAGAAACUGGCAAGCACAAAAAAAUCUCCUACUACCGCCAUCAAGACCUGGUUGUUAAAGUUUAGCAGCACACAACUGAGCAUAUUUGAAUCCCGGUAGGCAGGAUCCAGUAGGGACAGGAAAGAUGCCUGAUGCAAGGGAGAUGCUGACGGUGCCUGGUCCCAGAGGAUAGGGAAAGAGAUGGAAUCCGAGUACUUGUGGGGAGACUGGCUUUUAAAAACAGGAAAGAUACAGCCUCCAUUUUAAUAGAAUGUAAAGGAAAGAGGAUGGGAGAAGACAGAGCCAUGAUUCAUAAUAACAAUGGUAAUUAUCAAAGCUAACAUUGUUGUGUGCCUUUGAGCCAAUUCUGACUCAUAGCAACCCUAUUUGACAGAGUGGAACUACCCCAUAGGGUUUCUUAGGCUGUAGUCUUUAUGGAGUGGAUUGCCAGGUCUUUCUCCCACAGAGCUACUGGUGGGUUUGAACUGCCGACCUUUCCAUUAGCCAAAGACUUAACCAUUGUGAUACCAGGGCUCCUUAAAGCUAACAUUACUGAGUACCUAUUAUGUUCCAGGCACAUGUGCUUCACCUGGAUUAUCUCCUAUAACACUCACUACUCUGAAGCAGGUACUGUCAUUAUCUCUUCAUAGGUGAGGAACCCUAGGCACAGAGAGGUGAAAUAGUUUGCCAACAGCUAUUUGAACUCAAUGAUCUGAUGCUCCAGCUCUCAAUACAAGGACCCUACGCUGCGUCUUGCAUCUCAGAGAAGGUGUGGAUUCUGUGACAGGGAAUUGACGCAGUUCCCUAGCGAUAGGCUCUGUUCUCCCUGUGAAGAAUGCAACAACAUCACCUUAGAGUGAGGAAGUUAAAGGAUGCAUUUAAAGAAAGUAAAAAAUGUAAAACAUAAUUGUUGUGGAGUGGGGCGAGAAUGUUGUCUAGAGAAACAUGAGAAAAUGCCCAACAGUGCUGAGGGCUUAGUUGAUAGUUUUGAUCAUAAAUAUGCAGUGAGAUCACUUCCUUCAGUCACCUCUGCUGCUUCUAUUUAAUCACAGUGGAAGUGGCCUGUGGGCUCCCUCAUGGGUAGGAUAUUGAUAGGUCAGUGGAACAGAUCAGAAGGACAAAAGGAUUUAGGGAAUUUGGAGGGAAAAACAUGAUUCUGCUUAUGGACCGUGGUAUCUGAACAGGAGAAAGAAGCAUGUGGAGGCAGGAGGAGGCUUUGAUGAGGUUGAAGAACUAUAACAAUUAGAACGUUUGAACUAGUUAGGAAGAUAGGACAGGGGCUGUCUUUGGAAGCUUGAGCUUUGGAAUUAUUGAUUCUGGUGAUACUUCAGUUUCUGGAUACUCUAAGUUCACGGUAUGAGUAUUGAAAGGGGUAGCUGAGGCGGAAUGGGAGCGAGGGUCUCCGGAGAUGAGGUCAAAGCUUAUACAUGCGAACCUGAAAGUAGUCCAGAAUGAUGGCAGAAGUUAUGGUGAAGAGGAAGACUCUGUCACUGGUUCUAGUUGCUGUCUAGUUGAUUCCUACUCAUGGUGACCCAACGUGUGCCAGAGUAGAACUGUGCUCCGUAGGAUUUUCAGUGGCUGACUUUUUGGAAGAAGAUGUCUAGCAUUUCUUUUGAGGUGCCUCUGGGUGGAUUCGAAUCUCCAACCUUUUGGUUAGUGGCCAAGCACUUCACCAUUUGCACAGCCCAGGGACUCCAACAGUAAGUUACAUUGUGUGUAUUGUGGCUCCUAUUGUUAUUGGGUGAACAUGUUAAAAUUAUAUAUUAUGCCUUGGAGUGAAGGGAGACUGUUUAUUUUCUCUUUGAUCCCUCUGGAAUUCCUGGGCUCUCUCUCACUGGAAAGGUCACCUGGUCAGGUGGUGCCAGUGAAAGGGAAUAUUUCUCUUUCUGAAAAAUAGCCUGUAGUGAGUUGCUAAUGCAAGUGUUGCUUCAGCUGGACCUCAUCUUGAAGACAGUUUGGAACUAUAAAAGAAAAACUCACACUGGACAAUGUUAAAACAUGCCAAAGAUAACUUAUUCAAGAGGAAAUUUUAAGGGAGAAGAACGGAGUAAGGGAAGUGAAGGUGGUUAUUGUUGUUAGCUGCCAUCAAGUCAGUUCCAACUCAUGGGGACCCCAUGUAAAGCAGGUUUAGACCAUUGUGAUUCAUAGGGUUUCCAUUGGUUGAUUUUUGAAACUAGAUCACCAGGCCUUUCUUUCUAGUCCGUCUUGAUCUGGAAACUUUGCUGAAAACUGUUCAGCAUCAUAGCAACACACAAGCCUCUGCUGAUACAUAGGUGGUGACUGUACAUGAGGUACAUUGGCUGGGAAUUGAACCCAGGUCUCCUGCAUGGAAGAGAAUUCCACCACUGAACCACCAUUGCCUUGAAGGGAACGUAGGAGGGAGGGAGGACACUACAGUGAGGAGAGAGAUACCAAACACAGGUCUGUGCUCCGAUUCCACCGAGAUGCAGGAGUCAGGACACAGGACUGCCAGCUUUUUUAUUUUUUUUUAUUAACUUUUAUUGAGCUUCAAGUGAACGUUUACAAAUCAAGUCAGAUUGUCACAUAUAAGUUUAUAUACAUUUACUCCGUACUCCCACUUGCUCUCCCCCUAAUGAGUCAGCCCUUCCAGUCUCUCCUUUCGUGACAAUUUUGCCAGCUUCCAACUCUCUCUAUCCUCCCAUCCCCCCUCCAGACAGGAGAUGCCAACACAGUCUCAAGUGUCCACCUGAUAUAAUUAGCUCACUCUUCAUCAGCAUCUCUCUCCUACCCACUGUCCAGUCCCUUUCAUGUCUGAUGAGUUGUCUUCGGGGAUGGUUCCUGUCCUGUGCCAACAGAAGGUUUGGGGACCAUGACCACCAGGAUUCCUCUAGUCUCAGUCAGACCAUUAAGUAUGGUCUUUUUAUGAGAAUUUGGGGUCUGCAUCCCACUGAUCUCCUCCUCCCUCAGGGGUUCUCUGUUGUGCUCCCUGUCAGGGCAGUCAUCGGUCGUGGCCAGGCACCAACUAGUUCUUCUGGUCUCAGGAUGAUGUAGGUCUCUGGUUCAUGUGGCCCUUUCUGUCUCUUGGGCUCUUAGUUGUGGUGUGAUCUUGGUGUUCUUCAUUCUCCUUUGCUCCAGGUGGGGGACUGCCAGCUUUUUAAAGAACAUUAAGUGUUAGGGAGCGGGUGAGUGAAAUACUGAGAUUGCAGUUAGGGCCAGUUUGCUAAGAAUGUUUCCUUUUUUUUAUAAGGCCACCUAGAUCCUAGGAGACUAGGGGAAACAGAGGGGAAGAUAAGGAAAGGGAAACUAGUUAUUCUAAAAGAGUAAAUCAUUAAGUCUUAGUUUCUUCCACUAAGCCCUGCUGUUUGUCAGAACAGAAAAGUUUGGGGGGAUUUCUUUAACAAAGGGCUCAGGUAAAAUUCAACAUAUUCACUACUCAGUGAAUGCAAAGCUCGACCUAACUAUGGAUUCCCUUGCUCAGGGGCAGUGUUCCCUUAUACUCUAAGUGGGAAUUAUUUUCAUAACUUAAUUCAUCAGGCCCGGGAGGCAAGCUGCAGUUGCUAUGGGAACAGUAUCUGAAUUUCCUGGCUUUUGUACAUUUAACACAUAAACAAUGAUGCUAUAGUGACAUAGGUAUUUCUUCCUUUUCUCACUUUCAUUUCCUUUUUAGCAGGAUUACUGUUAGGGGAAGGAGAAGGAGAAUUUAAUUUCACAGGCUGGUUUAUCUGAUUAAGGCGUCAGAAUAUUCUGCUGUUGAGUAAUUUUCAUGGUAAUUACAUGCCCCAAGAGUGCAUGUGUCUAAACUUUACUUCCUACCUUCAGUACUAGUUUGGACCAGGCUUUCUAGCAUCAUGGAGGUCCUCGCCGAAAGUUCCAGAGAGAAAUGUUGUUCACCUUCAUACACUAGGUGCCCAGCCUAGUGCCUCAAACUGAAAGGUGUUUAUUGAACUUGUCAUGGCUUUGUGUGCUAUGAUAAGUGAACUGCAAAUUUAGAAUUUUGUGCUCAUUCACAUUGCGUCUUGAUCACCACGAGUCAUUUCUUCACUAACAUUGAAAGGCCUUUUGGGUUAAGUAUCUAUACGCACCAAGUUUAUGGCUGUCAGAGAAGCACUUGCAUUGCAUUUCAGGGCCACAUAAUCUUUAGCCUAACAUUUGCAUAUUAAUGGAUAAUUGCAAAACAUUAUGUAAAUUGUACAUGGUGGUGAAUAUAUUAUCAAAUCAAAUUGCCUUUAGGGGUAAUUACAGGAUGCUGCUAUGUCAACCAGGAAGCUGCAGGUUGAAUGUUAACACUUCUUACGGAAUGAAAUGGAAACCCAACAGAGUUUAUUUCUGUCCAGAGUCACAAGGUGCCUUUCAGUGUGACUCUUCAUUUUUGUCAAUGAAGCACACUGGGAUGAUAUCAGCUGCAGAAUAUUACGGAUUAAAAAAAUAAAAUCCUGAUUGAAACCUAUUGAAAUGUGGAAACUUUCAGAUUGCCAAUCCAAAUGUUUGGGUCACAGAGAUUUGUCCCAUGUCUUUCAAAAAGUAGACUUGUUCUGAUGUAUUUUCAUAUAUACAUAUGUAUGUGGAAAUACAUUAGAAUAUUAAAAUAAUCUAUGAUCCUAGUAAAAUAUAACAGAUCUCAGCCUCCUCAAGGUACCCUUCUCCUACCAUAAUGCUUGAGAGUUAACCAGUAUAUUGCGGGCUUAUUCUGUGUCACUACCUGGAAAUUGAGGGCAUCAUUCUUUGUAAUGGCUUCAUGAUACAAAACCAUUUUGAACUCUUUCAUUGGUUGAACUAUUUUGCCUUGGUGCGUAUUCCUUAACUCCAGUGAAUGAAUGACUUCAUCCAUUGCUAGCUAUUUACAUGUGCCCUCUUUGAAGACCAGCAUCUGACUUACGGUCUAUUCUUACUACAUAGUCUGACUCGGUGUCUGUUCUGUAUAUGGUGGCCAAGGAAGCAUUGUGGUUGGGAAGAAGGAUGGAAGGAAGCGUGUAUGUUGCUUUUCUGUUAGACUGAUAAGUGCUACCACCAUGGAAUGGAACUUUGGGCAGCCCCAGUCACUGUCUCCAACCAUUCGUUAGGAUUGCUGUAUUGGGAAAGAAAUAAGGCUUCUCUUUAGAACAUGUCCUUUUCCAUAAAGGAGAUCUGUAAAUUUGGACUAUAUUCAGUGCUUUGAAGGGAGGCAAAAAAACUGUUGCCAUUGAGCCUACACUGACUCAUGGUGACCCCAUAUGUGUCCGAGAAGAGCUGUGCUCCAUAGAGCUUUCAGUGGCUGAUUUUUCAGAAGUAGGUUGCUAGGUCUUUCUUCCGGAUGAGAGGCUACCUCCCUUGAAAUAUGUCCUGGUAUUAGGCAGUAGAUGACAGACCAGCUGGUCUUUACCACCAUUUAAGUCUGCUCACUUUCUUUCUUAGUCUGUUCCUUUCUAAUCCCAGUUUCUUAAAAAGUAAAAUAAAUUCUCUUUUUCAUCUUAUUUGAUUUCCCAUUAAUCUAUUUCUGGUUCUCCAGUCAGAGAAAACUGAAGUCGAACAAGUUUAUGGUAAAGCAAACCUAAUGCUGUGGUAGGUGUCGACUUUCUGAACACAAAGUAUAAACAAUGACCAACUUUGGAAACUCAGUCACCAACAAAAAGAGUCAUUGAGAUGCGAAUCUGGAAAUCUGAAUCUUAGCCCCAGCAGCUUCUGUGAUCAGUACUUGUUCUGUCUGAGUCAUGCCCUCCUCCUGCCCCGCUCCUCACCAAACCAGGCUGCAAGCAGGUGACUGGUGCGUUAGCCCAGACUUUUCACAACUUACUUAGGUUUAGUUAUUCUGUUAAUGAAAUAAAACAAAACUAAUGAUCUAAUAUAUGGGGACUGAAACUCAAAAGCAUUGUUUCGGUCAGUUGUAGAAUUUUGUAGGCCUGUUUCUAACCAGACAGAGGGAAAGGAGCUAUGGUUCAUUAAAAGACACUUCUGCGGCUUUCUUAGCACGAGGACUUAUAGUCAGGUGGCUAAAUCCCUGCUUGUCUUUCUGGCUUUGUGACCUCAAAGAAGUUACUUAACUAAAGCUUUUGGAUACCAGCCUUUAAAGGUGGAGUAAUGAUUCUUAUCUCACAGGACUAUGGAGAAGGUUAAAAGAUCACCAAUAUGAUCGAACCUAGGCUCUAAUCCAUAGUAAGUGCUCAAGUACAUGUGUGUUUCCUCCUGUAUCUUUGUUUCCAUCCUCUUCCUGUGAUUGUAUCACAGAAACACCUUAAAAGUAAUUAUUGUUAAAAGUAAAAUGCCAGCAGGCGGCUGGCUGGAUGGACGUGUAGGUAGGUACCUGCCCUCAGGCAAGUCAUUUAUUUAUCUUUCAGAUGCCUUUUCUCCAUUUCCAGCUCAGAUUGGUAAUUUGGAGCCAUUGGGAACUGAUGAGAAGAUGAAAGGCAUUGUUAUCAUUAUUGCUCUGGUGCCAGGAGGUGUCAUGUGGGAAAAUUUGAAAAAGGAAAAUGAUAAUAAAGAAUAAAGAUACCUGCCUAGAAUUAAGCUCCGGUGUCCAAAGCCUCCUUCAUAUGAUUCCAAAGCCACAUUUCCUUAAGUGGGAGUUGAGGUUUAAUCUCCUUGCCAGUUGGAAAUAAUUCCUAAUGAUUAACAUAACAGUGAAUCAUUUUUGGGCUAGUGAAAUACUAUUGAUGGCAGUUAGGAGUGAAAAGUUGUGAAAUACACAGAAGCGGGUUUUGCCGUACAAUGAAAGAGGAAAAUAAAACAGCCGAUGAAUAGACCAUAAAAUAUUUUCUAUUAAAAUAUACUGAAAGUUUGAUACACAUAAUAGUAGUUUUUAACAAGGACGUGUUAUCAGAUUUUUAUGGUAUUCCGUGUAGAAAGAGCUGAUAAAUUGGUCCUAAGUGUGCUUAUCUGCCUUGAGAUAAUUAAUUGUAACCUUUUCCUCAUGGCAACCACUGCAAAGGCUUGAGACCUGUUUGGUUCCCCGUUUCACAGAGAUCCAGCAUUGUCUGCAAAAGCAGAUAGAGUAGCUUCCCUGGGUGGAUGAGAAUCACCCCCUUGGGUUCAUUAAGAGAAGCCAUCAGUAUGGUAAAUGAAGAGGAGAGAAGGUAAAGAACUGUCUCAGGGUGGUUCACUGGACAUUAAGUUGUUGGAAAAGGGCCCAACAUCAGCCUCUCAUCUGAGACUCUAAAAUGGGGAGAUUUUUCAAGGCCUCCGGUGGCUUUGGCAGGAAAUCAUGAGCCAGUGGAAGGCCUCAUGGAUAGCAGUACUGAGUCUGAUGGGCAUAGACCCUACCCAUCAGUCACCUUAGGCCCUUUCUUCAAGUCUCCUAUGAAGGGAAGGAGCCCACUAUGGGUUCCAGAAAUCUCUGAGAAAUCCUUUUUGUAUAUGGAUGAAAUCGAAGCCACAACUCUAAACUUCCUAAAUAGUUAAUAACCACUGAGGAAUCCUUCAACCAAGUAUCUUCAGGUGGGGACAUGGCCCCAUGUGGAAGCAGGGCCUCCUGGUGGGUUUCUAGAUGUGAUUUCAGUCUGUUUUCAAUACCCAGAGACCACGUUGGUUCUUUGGGGGACUACCCCAGAGGCUCCUGUAUUGAGAUUCUCCGGGGGAGGAGAGGGCAUAUCAUCUUGACAGAGGGAGUCUAGUCCUGGCUGAACGUUCAGAAGUUGUUUAUCUGCCCUCGUGGCACAUGUAAACUCAUUUCUCAUCAGUUCCUCUAGUCAUUCUGGUGAAAGCUUGUGUCGGGGGAGGAAUCCUUUUCCUCACUUUAUCCCUGUCCCCCUCUGAUUGUUAUGCCGCCACCACAGCAGAGCAGUGAAGGGGUAGCUGAGAGUGCCCUCAAGGGCGGAGGGAAAGAGAGCAGCAGGCACAUGACUCUUCACCUCUCAGGUAUUUAAAGUGAGUUUAUUACUUUUUAUUCCCAUACAAGCAUACUUUUUUUUUUUUAACUAUUCAAGUUUUAUUAAAUAUUAAGAUCUUAAAAUAUAAAUUUAUUCUUUUUUAUUGUUGUAAAAAUAUAGAUAACACAUUUGCCAAGUCAGCAUCUUUCGUGUGUAUAAUUCAGUGGCACCAAUUAAUAUCAGUCAUCUCUUGCAAUGAUCACCAGUAUCCAUAACCAAAUUUUCUGUCACCAUAAAUAGAAACUCAGCGCUUCCUAAACAAUUAUCCGCCCAAUUCCUCCCCUUCUCCUGCCCUGGUAACCACUAUUAAACUUUGAUCUUCAUGCAUUUGCCUACUGUAGGUAUUUUAUGUAAGUAAGAUCAUACACUAUUUGUCCUAUUGUGGUUGACUUACUUCACUCAGCCUAACGCUUUCAAGCUUUCAAGGUUCAUCCACGCUGUAGCAUGUAUCAGGACUUAACUUUAUGGCUGAGUAAUAUUCCAUUGUAUGUAUAUACCACAUUUUGUUCAUCUGUUCUUCUGUUGCUGGAUAUUUGGAUUGUUUCCACCUUCUGACUUGGGAAUAGUGCUGUGGUAAACACCGAUGUACAUGCAUCUACUUGCAUUGUUGUCUUCAAGUUUCUUCGGUGUAUACUUAAGAGCGGAACUGCUGGGUCAUAUGGUAGCUCUAUGUUUAACUUUUUAAGGCACACAAACAUACUUUAUUUUGAUUGCAUAAAAUUUAGAAACAUUUGAAAAACAAGGAAUACUGUGAACAACAUAACAAACAUUAAAAAGAACAAUAAAAGAAACAAAUGCUCCGGUAUUUCUGUUUGAUUCCUUUUUCAUAAUUUCUGUUUAAUUGGUUUUCUUAUUUUGUUCAUGCAUUAUUUUUCUGAUUUCCUUUAGUUCUUUUUUCGUGUUUUUCUUUAGCUCUUUGAACAUAUUUAAUCUUUUUUUUUUUUUAAGUCUUUGUCUGUUAAGUCCGUUUUGGAGAUUCCUUCAGGAUGUUUUCUUUCGCUUUGCUUUGUCCUUUUGAAUGGAUCGCCGUUUUCUAUUUUUAUGACUUAUAGUUUUUUGUUGAAAAUUGGACAUUUGAAUAUUAUAAUGUGGUAACUCUGGAAAUUAGAUUCUCUUCUAGGGUUUGCUUUUAGUUUUGUUUUAAGACUGUAAUGGUCUAUUUGUUUAAUGCUUCUGCAAUUUUUACAAUGACUGACUGCCUUCUUGGUCACAGUUGGUCACGGAAGUCUGUUUCUUAACUUGUGCUAAUGUAGUGUUUUGACAGAGAGUUUCUUGAAUUCCAGGGGAAAACAAAAUAAAGCAAAAUUCUCUCCUGGUCUCCAGGGCACUCCUUCAACACCUAACCAGGCUUGCACUGAGCCUAUGGAUAAACCCUAGGUAAAAGCAUAGGGUCUUUUCGGAUAUUUUCCGUGCAUGCAUCCUGCCCUUGGCAUGUAUGUGACUUUCUAAAUUCCCUUGUAUGUACAGAUACUUUUGAAUGCCCUAAUUUCUCAAGGAUUUUAUGCCUCAGUUUCACUUUUUUAUCCCCAGAUGGCUACAAGCAGUUACAGUGUUUGGACAAUACCUGCUUUUCCACCUGGUGUCAGUUGAGAUAGGCCAAACAGAGAUGAGUGCCUUGUUUCAGUCCUUCAGUUAUCCCCAGGCAGGUUAGAACAGACCACAUAAUAAUUUGUGAAUAAUCCAGUUCUUUGUUUCCUCCAGAGCCGGGAAAUAAGAAUCCCUCUCUGGGACUGCAGGCAGCUACGGCUUUAAGACUUCACUGAGCUGGGGAGGGGGUAGAACAUGAAUCCCUAGAAAACCAAAACCUUCUUACGAUUUUGAAGUUGCCUUUUUUAAUGAUUCAGUAUUUUCUUAGUUUCUGUAAUCUCUGACUAAUUUCCAGAGUUAUAACAAAGUUCUCCAGUUUCUGCUUUUUUUUUUUUUGGUGUUUCUGUGGGCAGAUAGGAAUCGUGAGCUGCUUUUAGAGCCACCUUGCUGAUAUCACUGUCCCUGAAGUGAAUUUUAAAUCUACAAUGGAAAUGUGAUAAGCCAGUUUAUAAUUCUUUUAUAAGAGUGGUGCACACGCACACACACAGACUUAUUUUUAAUUUUGCACCUGCGUUGCUUUGACUUCAGAGAAAAAUCCCGGAAAAAGCACCUUAGCAUUCAUACGCUAAGCCCCGCAGAAUCAAAAAAAGUGAGAAUGGGAAGGAAUCGGGGAACUAAGGGAGUCUAUGGGACUCUGCACUUGAGGCCUCUGCUGAUCUGUGACAGUUUUCGUUGUUUGGCAGCCAGUGACAUAUAUGUAAGCUAUCAUGGUGUGUGUGUGUGUAUGUAUGCAUGUGUGUGUGUGUGCCAAGUUGUCACCUGUCUUUUUUUUGUAGUACUGCAGGACUAACCUUCUACUGUAACUGUGUCCUGCCAACCUCCUUAGCGUUAGAAAUGCCUAGCCUUUUAUAAAUGUGGGUGAUGAUGUUAGAGGAUUUUAAAAAAUUGUUUUCCUUGCCACAGUAUGAAGCUGGUAACAUUAUAUAAAUUCCCAAACUUAAAAAAAAAUGCUUUCCAGUCUGAAAAGGUCCAAAAUAGAGAUCACUAAGCUAGCUCAACUGCCGGCACCACUCCCUACUAAACUGAACUUCGUAGAUAAAGUUCAGGAUGGCGAAGAGACUUGUUCUCCCUAAUAGACACAGAGGUGAGAUCAUUCUGUGUGUGUGUGUGUGUGCACGCGCGCGCAUGCAUCAAAAGCUUAGACUAGCCUCUCCUCCUCUGAUGAUGUUCUGAAUUUGCUGGGCCGAGGUGGUGUUAUUGAGCUGGGUAAAGAUUCUGUAUGUUGGAGAUAUCUGGAAGGAGAAAUGAUGAAGGCGCUGUAAAGAACAAGGCUCAUGAAAGAAUCUCUUUUGUAGUGUAUUUCAUGAGAACACCUUGGCUUUGGAACUUGUCUUCUACUUCCAAAUGGUUUUAACAUCUCCUACCUGGAGUGACAGUUGGCAGGACUUCUGUCCUAUAGAGAGCAAGCUGUGGAGAUCACUAAGAGAGUCAGCCUUCCAGCACUUCAUUCUCUUUAAUCUUCUAAACUAGACAUGUGCAUGAAUAGUCAUUAAAAUUUAAUGUUUUUCAAUAGCAUGACAAGUCUGAACCAUGAUAUCCUUGAUUCUAACCUCUUAUACUAGGCUAGGAUGCAAGGCCAACCAAAGGAUAAUGUAUAAGAGGGAAAAAAAAGUAAAAAUAUGCCACUGAUUGUGUAAUUCCCCUCAAAAUGAUCAUAAUUUAUGUCUUGUUAGGUUUAUAUCAGUCCAUUUAACAAUCAUUUAUUAAGUACCUUCCUCCACCAUAUUGUCAUUUAAAAAUAUAAUACAUUUUUAGUACUUAGCAUGUGCUAGAUAUUUGGCUAAUAAUUUUUACAGUUGUUAUUUCAUUUAAUACUUAAGCCAUUCUAUGGAACAGGUACUAUCUUAAUCUUCAUUUUACAGUUGAGAUAACUUGGUCAGGGAUCCAGAAGAGUUCACAGCUUAAAGGUGACCAAAUAACAACUGGUACUCUGUACUCUAACUCCCAAAGCCCCACUCUGCCCACUGGGCUCAUCUGUCUUAAAGAACUCAGUUCUUGCCCUAAGUGUAUCACUGUAUUUCUCUUCUUCCUUCCCUACUACCACAUAUUCACACUCACAAAGAGAAAAGCAGCUGUUUUGGUGGUCUACUAGUGCCAGAACCCCUUUCCUCUAAAUGUCCAACGGGAUCCCAUCCUUGGUGUCAUACAACCCUGACAGACUGGACAAGUCAAAUGUACCUGCUUAGAAAGAAAGUGAGGCAAGGCAAGUUUCCUUCAUUUUCCAUAUUGUCCUUUUCCUAAAAAUUCAGAUUAAAUGGACCCAGUUUGUAGUAGGCAUUUCCUGGUUUUGUUUUCUAACAGAAACCGCCACUUCUUGUCAUGGACCAGGGUUCUGUUUAAGCUUAUCCAUCAGAGCUGUGCUUGAUCUGAGCAAGGUGGUUGCUGUAGGGAUUCUGAAGGAAGGAGCUCCCAGAAAUAUUUAUCUUAUUGUCAAGUGAUGCAUGAAAAGCUAACCCUGCCUGGUGCCCCUGUCAAAAAAGUCAUUUAGAAGAAACAGCAACUGGUGUGGCUUUUUAAUCACUGCAUUUCUUCCCUCUUGGGUGCACUGACCUUGCAAAGAACUGGCUAGGGAUCCAUAGUCCAUAAAAGUAGCGAUGUUUAUAAACCACCUUUCCUCCAAUGUGGAAGAACUACACCACAAAUUUUACUAAAAAUAAAAUAUUCCUGAAAUAGCAUUGAGGGAGGUAAGACUGUUUAAGUUGUAAAUUAUUUCCGGGUAGGACUAUAUAUUUAUUUUUUUCUCCUCAAAUCAGCAAUGCUUACUAAAUAUUUUCUGAUUAGUGGAUUACUGGUUAAGGUUAAGAUCAGUGCUAAAUCGUGUUGUCACAGGAUGGGUUACAUAGAAAUUUGUAGCCGCCCUUUCAGUGGAAGCUAUGAGCAGGGCUGAUAGUGGCAACUCACUGUAUAUGGCUGGGCAUUGCCCAACUCUAAGAUGUGCCAUUCACAUAGAUAAUGAUGAUAAUGGUGUCCCCUAGAGUUAGAAACUGCCCAAUCGUGUAGCAGCUCAUUUGGGAUCACAGCAGGAUCCAUGACUAACCAGACUUAAUGAGCAUUUGGUAAACAGGCACAUUCCCUGGACAGCUUCUCACUCUCAGAGUCAUAGGAGACAGAACCAAUGAGAGACUCCACCUACUGGAGGACUGGAGCUAAUGACAUCAUAUACAGUGUUGAAUAUCAACUCAUAAGCUGUUUGGGGGCAGAUCCUACAAAUGGAUGGUUAGUGACCACGUCUUGUUGAUUCUUGGUAGACUAUCUGGGCAGUGAUUCUGCAGGGCUUUGGGGGUUAGGUGUCUUGACUAGAUUUACUCUCAUACCUGAACUUCUUAAAUCCGUGUCAUUAUGGACCCAGGAGUCUUUGUUCAGCUCCUUCUAUGGUAUCAAGUAUCAAAAGAUGAAGAAACUGAGGCUCAGGGAGGGAACUCAGCUUGUCCAAAUUCACAUAGCUAGUAAGCAGUAGAGAUGGAGUUUACCCACAUCUUGAAAGCCUGUGUUCUUUGUAUUUCACUCUGCUGCUUCUAGUUUGGGCAGGGUUUUCUGUAGACAUUCCAGUUCUUUGUUUCUUGUUAUCUUCUCUGUAUAUCCAUCUACCAGUCACUGGAGGCACUUUCUCAUAUUCAUUUUAAUGUUCAGUGUUUAUGUUGUAGUAUCAGUUGCACCUGCUUUUUGACUUGGCUGACAGGGAGACAUGAGUAUCGUGGGGAAGCUAAAUGAUAAACUCCUUGGAAAUCUCUUCCCUGGGUGAUGGAAUAUGCUCAGCCCUAUUGUUUGUAAGCAAAAGCAUUACUACUGGGACAAGAAAUGCAAUGCAUAUGCUAAUAUGUGCAUGAAUAGUUGGAAGGAUGUCUGAAUCAAAGAAGCUUGUCUGUUUCACAUUUAUAGCCAAUGGAUGUUGAAUUUUUUUCAGCAGGCUUUCAAUGAAAUGGGAGAGGUGCCAGAAGCUGGAUAUGACUAUGUAAUAAUGCCUUCCUCUGAAUUGCUAUAGGGUGGCAUGUUAUUUGCAAGGGGUUGGAUAAAAUGGUUAUGAACCCUAAAAUCCUAUGAUUUUCUAAAUAGCAGAUAAUUAUAUAGUAUACAAAUCCCUUAGCUAUACUUAAGAUGAUUUGAAUAAGCCCAAAUUCUUAAAUUUAACUUAAAUUAAAAAAAAAAGAAAAAAUCUUUUUUUUAAUUUAAAUUAGGAUUAUACAAAAUAUUUAAAUUUUAUUUAUUUUCAGAUUAUCUGUAAAUUUUCAUAGCAUAUUUUACCUGUUAUUACUAACCCCUAUGUGAAAAUGGCCCCUUGUAACUUUCUGGAUAACUAACUUUUAGCAUGUAUCACUGUCCUCCUUACAGUUCAGUUCUUAUGCCCAUAACCAAAAAAAGGUUUUUUUAAAUAGGGACCCCGUCAUGCAUCUUUGUGGUAGGCACUUAGUCAGUGUAUGCUAAGGGCCUGAAAAAUCAAUGUUAUAAUUUUCACAAAUCUUUAAAGGUAAAUUUUGAAAACUAUAUUAUAUAUAUAUAUAUAUUUUUAGUGGGUUAUUGAUAAAUACAAGUUUGUUUGGUAUUUGCAAGAGCAAGUAAACUCUGAGAGACAUUUUGGAUUCACUAAACUUGAUUUCUACCAAAACAUCACUUCCUUUUCUGUCAUAGGUAUUAGCACGAUAAACUAGACAGGUGUUCUAAAGAGAGUGCAUCUAAGUUCUUGAGAAUUUCUCAAGAUCAUUUCCUUGGAUGGAGAAUGAACCUGACCUUACCUAUAUCCUUUUAAAGAUUUGAGUCCAUGAUCAGAACAAAGGCAUGCAGAUUUUUCAGAAUAUGCCAAACCAAAAGGGAUCUUUCAUAAUUAAAGAUUUUCACAUGUCCCAAUAGGCUGAAUCCAUGGGACAGAAAUCAAGAUUAAACUUAACUUUGAUAAAAUGUUGCACUUAGAUUAAAAAAAAAAAAUCAAUUGCACAAAUUUAUAACCGAGGAGAUCCUCAGUCAAUAACUCUGGUAAAGGGCCUGAGCAUUUUAGUAGAUGACACCAUCAGUUUGCACCCCUGGUAAGUGGCUGAUAAGUAAAACCAGUGCCAUUGUAGGUGCACUCACAGAGAUAUAGUUUCCAGAUUCAAGGAAGGAGUUCAUAGUCAUGCCUGAAAUUUUAUGAAUCAUUCUGGGACACAUAUUCUAAGAAGGUCUUUGGCAAACAGGAGCACACACAGAAGGUAAAGAUGCCUUUAUGCAACAGUUAAAGAAAAUGAAGUGUGAUUGGCCUUGAGAAGAGAAGGCUAAAAGGAAACACAUUAACUUUUUCAAGUAUUUUGUGGAUUUUCAAGGAAAAGGUGUUUGACUUAUUGCAUGUAACUCUAGAGGAUAAACUAGGACCAUUGUGUGUGGAAAUUUUAGGAAAUCAUAUCACCAGUCAUUUUUGCUUUUGGUUUUCUUAACAAAGAAAAGAAAGUGUCUUGCAAAGUUGUGAGACAUUACUCCUGUUCUAACCAAAACUAUAUGACAGUCUUUCAUGGAUGUUGCCAAGACCCGGGCUAGAGUUCCCUUAUCAUCUUUUGAUUUUCCAUCAUGUGCCUGUAAUACUUUUUCAAUAAAUAACUAAUCAACAUAAGGGAUAAGUAAAAACGAGUUCUCUCCUGUGUCUGAAAGUGCAGAUUACUAAAGGAAUAUUUUGAUAAUAGUAUCUCCAAGAACCCAACAAUAGAAAAACAGCUGGAUUCUCUUUGCCUGAUAUGCUCCUCUCCACCCCCACCCCAGCAUAUCUGUGGAACAUUUCACAAGUCACAGACACUACUGUCCGGCAUUCUUUAUGACGGAGACUAAAUUGCCAUCUUUAGGGAACCUAGGGCAAACAGGACCUGUGGUGGAUGCUCUCCAUGGUGCUGAAUUGAGCAGGGAUUUUUUUUUUUUUUUUUUUUUUUUUUGGCACAGUGGUUAAGAGCUGGGCUGCUAACCAAAAUGUCAGCAGUUCAAAUCCACCAGCCGCUCUUUAGAACCCUUUGGGGCAGUUCUACUCUGUCCUACAGGGUCGCCAUGAGUUGGAAUUCGACUUGACAGCCAUGAGUUCUAUUUCGGGUUUUCCGAGACUAAGAUUUGCCUUCUCCUUAUGCCUGUCCUGAAAUGAUUCACAGUGCACCUCUUGCUUAUAAGUCUGCCUUUUUAUUAUGGCCCCAACCCAUACAGAUCAUAUCCUUACAUAAAGCCUUCUGAUAUUUCUGCCUGCCUUUGCUUAAAUCCAUCUGGAUACCCAGUCUGCCUUGACCUCAGUCUACUAACCUGUCUCUUCAGAAAAAUGAGUUAUGAAAGAGAUUUACAGAUUUGGGUAAUCAUAGUAGGUGAGACACCACAUUCUUAAAUCUAUUUUGACCUAUUAAACAAUUACGUUUCUUAUCACUUCCAAAGUCUCUCCUGGUAUAUAUUUAUCUAUUCUCAGUAAGCUUACACAUGGAAGUAACUAAUGGAUGAGGUGGAUAUCUGGCUGAGGAGGAGGAUUUUAGGGAUUUGAUGAUGCCACUGAUUGACUAAUUUAAAAAAAACUAAUUUUCUUCUCUUUUAAUUUCUCUCAUACAUACAAAGCACGGUUCUCAAUGGCUGGAAAUACUGAUAUAUUUAAGCUAACCUGGCUUUUCAUGAAAUGAAAAAUUGUGAGUAAAGGGCACCCCAUGACAGCUAGAAGAAACACAUUGACAGAAUAUCUUGACAAUAGAAGCAGAGAUCUGAUAAACUUGGAUGGAGCAUGGUGGACAGUCAUGGUGUGCAGAUAGGAAAAGGAUACUGCUGGACUAGCAGAGAAGGAUUCUUCUGUCCUACCAUUGGCCUCAACAGACAUAAAGAAAUUGACUGGUGAUGGGAUAAUUAUUCUCCGUGGACCCAAGCAACUGGGCUUGAGCUCAAAUGAGAAGAUCUUGGAAACCUUAGAAUUCAAAGGAGGAGAGGGAGCUACUAAAAGAGAAGAAGAGCAUGAAGCAUAAUAGAAGGGAAGAUCUGAGAGUCUCUGCUAUUUAAUGAUAAUCAACUUAUAUAAAAACUUAAACAGGAGACAAAGCAUUUAAGGUUCAUAAAUUAUAUAACCAAAUUUUCAUGGUAAAAUUCCCUGAAGAAAGAAUUCAUUCAGACUGGUUCACUAGUUAUAUAGAACAGCACUACACCCAAUCAUUCAGUUGGUAAAUACUUUCCGUGAUACAUAUGAGUUUGGUAGAAAGAGGAAAACAAUCCCUUUGAAAAUAUGGAAAAAAUAGAAGGAUUCAUGAAAUAUAACAAGCGAGGCAUUUAAUCUUUGGGAUUCAUCCAACCGUAUUUUCUGACUGAAUAGUAUUUUAUGUAAAGAACCUUGAGCAGUGAAGAAUUUGUACUUUUUCAUGAUUUAGACCAACCUUAUUAGCUUCUGGUCAAACUCAAGGUCGGAUUUAUUAGUCUUAGACAAAUUAUCCAAAUUAGGAAGAUUCACUAAAAAAGUAGCCCAUUUAUUGAAAAAUUCUCAUUGAAAGCUUUUUAUUUUUAUUUUUUUCUAAGUAGAAUAUUCCCCAGAGUUAAGGUAUUCUCAUGUCCAUUUGAAAAGCUCUUAUUAUUAUAUCUCAACCCAGUGUGCCCAAGAGGCCAAGGCCCAUGUCUCAUUAUCUCCCCUUUCUUUUAGCACUGCAGUUCUUUCAAAAGUUUUGGUGCUAAUUAUACUCACUCUGAAAGAAAACAAUAUCCAAAUGCUUCCUUUCACAGAAGGCCUCAGAUCAAUCACAUAGCCAGAAGAGCAAGGAAGCUGAAUGCGUCAAAGGAAGAAUUCCCCUGUAAAUUCCACACUUUAGGCAGGGCAUCCUCCCUAAAGCCCUCAGAGUAGACUAGUCCCUCCAGCUGUUCUGUCUUCUGUGGUCCAAUUGUUUCUCUGGAUGGUAAUUAACCUCAGUUGGAGGAGGCUAAAUAUCAGCAACAAAUAUUUGACUUUCUUCCAUGGAAGCACAAAUGAGGCUAUGAUAAAAACACUUCCUGUUCAUUACCACCUGAACUAGACUCAGACUUCUUCAUCUCUCAAGUAGAAUCGUAUGAACUACCUCUCAGAGUUGCUGUUGGGCAUUUAGGACAUAGUAGGGGUACAGUAAUUGUUCUCUCUCUACUUUCUCUUCAAGGCUAUGUUAAAAACACACAAGUAAACAAACCCAUUGCUGUUGAGUCGGUUUGACUCAUGGCAACCCCAUGCAUUACAGAGUAGAAUUGCUUCGUAGGGUUUUCUUGGCUGUAAUGUUUAUGGAAGAUUUCUUCCGUGGAACUACUAGGUAGGUUCAGACUGCCAACCUUUAGGUCAGCAGCCCAUCACAAACCACUUGUGCCACCCAGGCUCCUUUUCAAGAUUAUGCUAAGCACUACUAAAAGAGAGAACUAGAAGUAAGUUUUUGUUUCUUCUGGUUACUGUCACCAUGCUUAAACACCUAGAUAUCAUUUUCCCCUGAAGGCCUUACAACUUCUUACUAAAUCAAGUCUGUGGUGGAUCUAUCUCCUCCUGAGGGGAGCCUCCAGAGGGUAGCUUUCAUUGAAUCCAAUGAUCGAAUGUGAUAAAUAGGGCUGCUGCCCUAAGCUCUUGGUUUAUGCAGCGCUCCUAGAGAAAAGGAUAAGGCAUACCCCCAAGGGAAAGCCAGAUUUGGAGAGGCAAGUGUGAACUGAUUGAUAUGAUCAUAAAUUUAAAAUUUAUUAAGGAAAACAAAAUCUUUUUCAAUGGCUACAACAAUAAAAAAAAAAAAUAGAAGGUGGGAAAAUAAGAUUUAAAAGUGAAAGGUGUGUGGGGAAUGACUGCUAAAGGGUACAAGGUUUCUUUUUGUGGUGAUGGAAAUGUUCCAAAAUUAUAUUAUGGUGAUGGUUGCACAACUCUUGAAAUAUACUAAAAACCAUUAAAUUGUACAUGUAAAUGGGUGGAUUUUAUGGUUUGUAAAUUAUGUCUCAAUAGAGCUGUUAAUUUUUUUUUAAAGUGGGAGGAGAGGUGAUAUUCUCCAAUAGCAUAGGCAGUGAAGACAAGAAGACUUAGUUGAAAUCCCUAUGGCUUUGGGUGGCCUUGGGCAAGCAGUACUUCAGUGUCUCUCCUCUAAAAUGGAAAUAGGAAGACCUCAUCAUAGGCUCGUUGAGGUGAGGGUGAUUGGGAUAACAUAUGUAAAACAUCUGCCAGAUACUUAUCUUAGACAACCAGCUGCUGUAUAGUGGUCCGUAGGGUUUUCACUCCAUAGGGUUUUCACUGACUGAUUUUUCAGAAGCAGAUCACCAGGCCUUUCUUCUGAGGCACCUGUGGGUGGAUUCAAACCAUCAACAUUUUGGUUACCAGCCGAGUGCCUUAACUGUUUGUACCACCCAUGGACUCCAACUUAGAAAGCCCAUGGUAAUGCCAGUUAUUAGGAGUGAGGGGGAAAAUGUUGUGGUAUGGAGGUGGUAGUAGAAGUAAGUCUUUAGUAUAAAAAGUUCUAAGCCUGUGAAAAGCAUUUCUGAACAAAUAUUAGACCAUCCUAUUUCAGGAUAUAUUUCUUCCCUCAAAACUGUAUUAAAGGGUGUGGUUGGUUUUAUUGUGUUCCCUCAGUGAGCUCUCUUGCCUCACCAUUUCCCUGGCUGACCCGGAGACUAAAUCAGCACAUCCAGUUAUACAAGAAUAUGGUUGAAAAUCAGACACAAUCCAGAAACCCUUCAAGGAAAAUAGGGCAGUUCUGAUCUUUAAAAAAUCUUCCCCCCUGCAUUCCUUUGGAAAGGGAAAACUCAUACAAAUGAGAAGGUACUGAAAUCUAGCCAUAUCUCAAUUGGCUUACAAGGGCUACCAGCAGAAUCCAUGGCUUUGCAUAAAAUGAAAAAGCUGUGCCAUCAGAGGAGAGUCCUUGGUGGAGAGCUAGACCAGGGAUCUGGGUGGGGAGAGUGCUCUGGGAGUCCCAGAACCAGACAGGUGGUGCUUGGGCUAUAGGAAGCCCCCUCCCCUGACCUCAGAUUCUGUGCUUAUUUAUCCAGUUCAUUGUAAGGUAGCAUUUAUCCAUUAUAAAGACAAAUGAGGUGGUCUCUAUCAUAAAAGCUGGAAUUCCUAUGGAAAGACAGAGAAAAGUUCAGAAAGAAGUUAAAUAAUUACAGGUUAUACCAAAUGAUGAAUAAAUAAAAGGGCUGAAAAAGAGGAUCUUUUUCCCGUGGGUCUGUCGGACCACAUUAUAUCUAUUAGGCUCAUCGAGAAGAGCCAGUUUCAUCUCAUUUCCACAUCUACAAAGGAGAUAAAAAGCAGCUCACAUUGUGAAAUGCAGUCCAAGCCCUUCCUAGGAACACAGGAUAUUCUGGGUCAACUGAACUUUAAUUAUCCAAAUAGGUUACUGCUUAGGCUCUGUUUUGAAAACUCUUACAGAAGACCCUGGCUGUGUGAUUCCAAAGUAAGUUAAUGCAUGGGAAAUCACUAUGAAAAUAUUGUGUGCUUAUGUAGGAAUCAAUCUGAUGAUCAUCUCAUGAAAUGUUUUUUAAACAUGUGUUCAGGCUCUUUCCAUGACAGCUUUCAAAUAGGCAUAGUAUGUAUGCACAUGUGCAUGUGUGUACCCAUCCGUCCAUCCGUUCAAUCCGUCCAAUCCAUCCAACCCGUCCAUCCGUUUGUGAAGUGUAAAUUAAAUGAUGACUAUCUCACACAGGCUCCAGCUUUAAAAUUGCCAUGUUGGGUAGAUAGGGGCAACUCCUGAGACGAAGGCGUCCAUCGUAUAACUUCAAAGAACAAUUAUAAUAUUGGUCCAAUGCACAGAAUGUUUUUUUUUUUUUGCUCUUUAAUAAAAAUAUGUAGAAAAUAAGUUACUACAAUGCAAACAUGAUUAUUUAGUUUUUAUAAUUUAAGGAAAUUUACUUUGAAAAUAUAUAGCAUAUAUAAUAAUAAUAAUAUGCUACAUAUAAAAAUACAUAGCAUAUAAUAUAAUGGUGGCCCAGUGGUUAAGAGCUAUGGCCGCUAAGCAGAAGGUCUACAGUUGGAAUCCAGCAGCCCCUUCUUGGAAACCCUGUGGGGCAGUUCUGCUCUGUCCUACAGGGUCGCUAUGAGUUAGAAUCGACUCCACGGCAAUGGGCUUGGUUUGGAUAAUAAUAUAGUUUUUUGCCAGAUUGUAAUGUCUAAAUCAGUAGUUCCCAACCAAGGGUGAUUUUGUGCCCAAGGGAUGUUUUUCAAUGUCGGGAGACCUUUUUGGUUAUCAUAGCUGGGUGGUGAGGAAUACAGCCGGCAUCAGUGGGUAGAGGUCGGGAUGCCACUAAAUGUCUUGCCAUGCACAGGACAGCCCCCAACAGCAAAGAACUAUCAAAGAAUUAUUGUCCCUAAAUAUCAGUAGUACCACGGUUGGGAAGUCUGUCCUAAACCAAUAAAAAUUUUUGUCAUAAUUUUCAAGAUUUGAAGAUUUAGUUUUACAUGGCAAAACCUAUAAUUUAUUGUUAAGUGCAAUGAGUUUUCAGAGAAAUAAACUACUGGUAAAUAUUUCUUAUAUGUAGUGCUUUAUAUUCUGAUCAGAGAAAGAAGGUUUCUCUUUAUUUUAACAUACCUUUAAGAAAAUUUUUUUUUUUUUUUUCACUAGGAGGGUAGGGAAACGGAAAACUGUAAUAUGAAUUCCCUGCCUGGGGUGCUUCUCUGAGAGCCUUCACUGAAUGCAGAAGGAUCUCUUAUUGACAAAUAGCGUUCUCUUCCUCCAUUUGAUUCACCAAUGAUUAUAAAAUAUUAAAGCAUGAAACCUCAAUCCCUGCUCUAAUGAGAGUAAGCGCAUGAGUCUUCCUUUCUUCAUCCUACCUGAAACCCAGAGGGCAGUGCCCACACUCUGUUAAGUAAGUACUAAUACCUUGGGAUUCCUUGUGGGGAAAAUAUUUACAAAGGAUGCUUGGUGCGUUUGGCAUUCAUCUGAGAUGGUCUGAUUUCUAACAAAUGUUACUUUGUAUGUGUAAAAACAGUUUCUCUCUUCCAAAGGCUGACCCUGAAUUAAUCUGUUGAAAUCGCAUAUAAUGGUUGAGCAGCUAUACGCCAUCUGUAAAAUAUUAAAAGGAGACAAGUAAAAUGUAUGCUGUAGGCAACAGUGAAAGAUCAACUGGCUUAUUUGCAUUCAGAAAGCAGGGAAGUUGCUCUGGUGUAAAGACCACCUGUCUGUCAGCCACCGCCUGUCUGUCAGUUUGUUGUACUGUGGUGGCUUGUAUGUUGCUAUGAUGCUGGGAGUGAUGCCACCAGUAUUUCAAAUACCAGCAGGCACACUCAUGGUGGACGGGUUUUGGCAAAGCUUCCAGACUAAGAGACUAGGAAGAAAAGCCGGGGGAUCUACUUCUGAAAAUUAGCCAAUGAAAAUCCUAUGAAUCACAACAAAACAUUGUCUGAUAUAGUGCUGGAAGAUGAGUACCCAGUGUUGGAAGGCACUACACAAUGGCUGCUACGAUGACUCAGACAUGCCAACCAUCAUGAAGAAGGCUCAGGACCAGGCAGUGUUUUGUUACAUUAUACAUGGGGUCAUCAUGAGUUGGUGCUGACUCGAUGACAACUAACAACAACAAAGGUGAACAUUAUGAUUAUAAACAUAGGAUAUUGUUGUGUGCUGUCAAGUCGAUUCUGACUUAUAACCACCCUAUAGGUCAGAGUAGAACUGCCCCAUAGGGUUUCCUAAGCUAUAAUCUUUAUGGAAGCAGACUGCCACAUCUUUCUCCUGCGGAGCAGCUGGUGGAUUCAAACCAUUGACCUUUUGGUUAGCAGCCAAGCACUUAACUACUGCACCACCAGGGAUCCUUAUUGUGCCACCAGGACUCCUUAAACUUAGGAUAGAUUUAGGAUUUGACAAAAUUCUUCCAUGGGCUUAGUCAACUCAAUUCUGUGCGAUGGUGGUAGGCUUAAGGGCCAGCAUGGUGGUGGAGAGGUCCUGGGAUUUGCAGGCAACAGACUACCCUGUGUCAUUUGGAGAGUUUUACAUGUACAUAUAUAUGUAGGUAUGCAUGUAUACCCGGGCACUAGGUAUGUUCUUUACUACUGGAGUGUCAUUGCUUCUAGGCCCUCUUAGCUGACAAAGCAAGAAAAUAUAUAUGCAUAUACCAAGACUUGUACAUAUACACAUAUCUAUAAAUCUUCCUGUAUGUAACCAUCUGUAUUUAUAUUAAGCUAAGGAAGAGUUCAUACUAAUGUCUCCAAUUCUAAUCCAUUACCACAUGGAUCAUUCUAAGCCUCCUUCCUUUCAUUAUCUGUAAACUUCCACCCCUCUACCACUGAAUUUCAAUACCUUCAUCUUCCUAAAAUCUAUGAAGAAUCAAUUCAGACUCAUAGCAACCCUAUAGGACAAGGUAGAACUGCCCCAUAGGGUUUCCAAGGAGCACCUGAUGGAUUUGAACUACUGACCUUUUGGUUAGCAGCUGCAGCUCUUAACCACUAUGCCACCAGGGUUUCCAUAUGAAGAAUUUAGUGGUACUUAAUCAUACUCUGUGUUGAUUUAUACUCCAGGGGGUUCAGAGUUCAGUCCUAGGUUAUGGUUUGUCUAUCUAUAUGUAUGUCUCUGUGUUAAAUUUGUUACUCUUUCUAAGAAUCUCCAUUGCUAAUGCUAAUCAAGUAUUCAUAGCCUCAUCCUGGGAUAGUAAUAUUGCCUCCAAUCCAGUGCUCAGGUGUAUGGCAACUUUAUUGAAGCAGAACCUAGUAUGGAAAUUUGAAAAUUAGCCUGGAGCAGCCACCUUAUGACACAGGUAACUGUGGUCAUGUGUAUCACUUUUCUAAUUCAUAUUUGUUUUUAUUUUACACACAUUUCUAACCAUUUGGUAACAUAGGAUAUUUUGAAGACUCAGCUUUCCAGAUUGAGUCCAUACCCAGAGAUUAUAAACAGCCUAGAUUUACUUAAUAUUCUAGAAUAAAUCUCAGAGUUGGAGGACCCAGAAGAUAGUGUGCAUAAAAGUAUUAUUCUUUUACUGAUUUGGUGGCUUUUGAAUUCAGCAUGAGAGUAAAGGCGAGCAUGACAAUGAUAACAAUGUUUAAGGGUCAAGGAUGUAGAUAGUGAAGUUCCAUGUCCAAAUCUAGGCUCUGCUUAUCUCACAGGAAAGUUUAGAACUCGAAAGGGGGUAUGCAGAUAACUAUGAAAUCAUUUUUGGUUUUUUAUAGACGAGUGUUCAGACAACUUAAUAAUGUUGGCUUACGAUAGCGUCUGAGUGGCAGUAGAGCUUAGGGAGCCAGACCACAGGCAUUGUAGCUGGGAAGACCCUGGGACCAGACUUUGGCUGUGCCACUCACUGGUAGCGUGGGAUUUAUAACCACCUGAUGGCGCAGAAUAUGUUUGUACCAUGAGCUUCAUCCAUUCACUCAACAAAUGUUCACUAAGCAUCUAAGUGUUAGACACUAGAGUUACAUACUAGACAUGGCUGGUAUUAGACACUAGAGUUACAGAAUCAAUAGCUGAGACCAAGGCCCAGUCUCCUGGAGCUUACAUAUUCUAUAUUUUCUCUAGCAUAUUCUAUAUUUCUGUAAAUAUGUAAUAGAAAGCGACAAUACAAGCUAAGAAUAAACAAAGAAAGGCAGGACCAUAUUUGGCUACAGGGAUGGUAAGAGAAGCCCUUUGUGAUAUGAUGACAUUUGAGGUGAGGACUGAAGAGGCUAGGAGAGGGAGCAGGACAGGUCUCUGGGAAACUAUAGAUUCCGAGACCCUGAUCCAGGAGUUGGCUUAUUAGCAUGUUGGAGGAAGAGACAGGGGGCUGAAAUGGCUGUUGGGCAGGGCAAGGAGGAAAGGUAGCUGAUGGAGUCAGAAAUUUAGGCAGAAGCCAAGAUAAAAACUUUAUAUUUUACCCAGAGGAAGAUUGAGGUGGAGCCCUGGUGACACAGUGGUUAAGAGCUCGGUUGCUAACCAAAAGGUCAGCAGUUCGAAUCCAUCAGCUGCUUCUUGGAAACCCUGUGGGGAAGUUCUACUCUGCUACAGGGUCACUAUGAGUUGAAAUCGACUCGAAAGUGGCAGGUUUAAAAUUGGGGUGAGGGCAUUGGUAGUUCAGUGGGGGAUAUUUCACCUUCCAUGCAGGAGCCCUGGGUUUGAUUCCUGGCCAGUGCAGCUCUUGCACAGCCAUCACCCAGCUAUCUGUGAAGCUAUGUGUUGCUAUGAUGCUGAAUAGGUUUCAACAGAGCUUCCAGACUAGGAUGGACUAGGGAGACAGACCUGGUGAUCUACUUCUGAAAAUCAGCCAGGGAAACUGCUACAGGUCACAAUGGCCUGAUCCACACCGAUCAUGGGGAUGGCACAGGACCAGACGCUUUUCUAUCAGUUGGUUCUGGAGUCACCAUGGCAGGUAACAAUAACAAGAAGAUUGGACAUUUGUGGAGAGAAAUGACAUAAUCUUAUAAAAGGAUCACUCUGGAAUAUUUGUGGAGAAGAGACUAUAGGGGCAGGCAUGGUGGAAUCAGGGAGGCCAAUUAGGAGCCCACUGCACUGCUGCAGAUAGGAGGUGAUGUGCUUGGACCAGGUGAUAGCAGUGGAGGUGGUGAUGAGUGAUCAGACUCUAAAUCACACUUCAAGGUAAAGAAGGCAGCAUUUAUUGGUGGAUUGGGUAUGGGAUUUGGAGAAAAAGGAGUAAAAUAUACUUCAAGGUCCUUGGCCAUUUAUUAGAUGGAAAGACUAGGGAAGGGGAAGGUUUGAAGAUGGAAAUCAUGAAUUUAGGUCUGGAUGUUAAGUUUGAGAUGUCUGUUGAGACAUCUGAUUGGAGUUGCCGGGUAGGCAGUUGAAAGUAGACAUCUGGCUGCAGGGAAAGCACUGGGCUGUGAGACGGGUGGACAUAGCGUAACCUAGGGAGCAAGUACAGGCCUGGAGUCCCCAGGUGGUGCAGACGGUUAACAUUCUGAUCUGCUAACCAAAAGUUUCGAGGUUCAAGUCCACCCAGAGGUGCCUGAGAAGAAAGGCCUGGUGAUCUACUUCUGAAAUACCAGCCGUUGAGAACCCUAUGGAGCACAGUUCUACCUGACACACGUGGGGUCACCCUGAGUUGAAGUUGACUUGGUGACAACUAGAGAAGUGAAAAUCUGCAAAGACUGAGCUCUGGAGCGCUCCAGGUUAAAGAUUAUGAAUAUGGGGAGGAACCGGUGAAGCAGGAAAGUGGUGGAGUGAGUAGAGAACCUAAAGGGAGCGCGGUCCCACUUGCCAGGUGAGAAGAGUUAUCCCAGCGUCAUACACGAUGGAUGUGUUGAGUAAAGUGCGGACUGAGCACAUACCAUUGGGUUUAGUAAGCUGGAGAUGAUGGGAAAGCCACCGUUUUAUUUUGAACUAAAGAUAAUAAUAGCACAUACCUCAUAGUGUUGUGAGGAUUAAAUAAAUAUGUAAUGCAUGUGAAGCCCUUAGCACAGUAAAUGUGUAAUUCACGUUUGCUAUUAAAAUGGGAGGCAAUUUACAGGUCACUUCUGUGAGGGUUGGUUGUUUUUGAGCCUCCCAGGUGAUCUGAGAGAGGAAAAGCAGUUACUGUUCUUGUCCUUGUUUAUUAGUAAAGACACUCUCCUCAGAGAGUAAUAAGGUUGCUGGGACCACAGUUCUUCCCAACCUACGCCUCACUGAGUAUUUUCACAUCUAGCCCAAGCAUGACUUAUUUGUGCUAUUAGGGGGAAAAAAAUCUGUUUAUUGUAUUUCUUUGUUUAAAAAAAAAAUGAGUGGGUUUUGGAGCUUUUUCCUAAUGAAUCUUUAUAAAUUUCCUUAUAAAUCCUAUGCUUCACCUGUCCCCCACCCCCGCCAUCUGUAUAAUGCAUGUAAAAAGGAUUACUCAUUGCAUUAUCACCAGCCACUUUUUGGGUAAUUGAGAUGACACCAUCAUAAGAAAGAAACAGAGAAGCGUGGCUUACAACUUGGAAAAUGAGGCCCCUGAGUUGUUUACCUGGAGCUGGCAGCAAGCCCCUGGCUUCCUAUACGGUUGCCUCCCCUUCUUUUGUGAGAUUGUCCUAUUGUGCCAAGUUCAAGAGUCACACUCCAUCUCAACCCUGGUUGUUUAUUAGGGGGAUGGGAAUGAGAAGCUUUUAAAUAUUACCCAUUACCUGUGUUCUGGCCCACCAUAUGAUUUAUUUCAUCUGGGAUAGACCCAGACAUAACUUUUUUUUUGUUAAGUCAGGUUUAUUGAGAUCUAAUUUACAUACAGUAGAAGUCACCCUUUCUGAGUUUUGACACACACACAUAUAGCUAUGCAACCACCAUUCCAAUCAAGAUAUAGACCACUUCCAUCACCCCCAAAACUCCGUUGUGUCAUUUAGCACUUACCUCCCUGCCUCUGAUGCCCUGGCAAUCACUGCUCUGUUUUCUGUAGCAUCAGUAUUUUUUUUAAAAGUUAGGUGAUUCUAAUAUGCAGCAAGGGGUAAGGACUGUGGUAAGUACUGCCACCUAGGCAGCAUUUAACAAAAUGCUGGACACAAGGGGAAGAAAGCUGCCCUGUGCUGUUCAUACAUUGCAGGCAGUUCAUCAGUUAAUCUCAUGCCCGUGCUUCCUUUCUGUUAGGUGAGAGAAGACAGGGGUUUUGGUUGUUUAUGCUUGCUGUGCUGCCUCUCUGUUAUAGAAGUGGUUUGUAGGGAGAAGGGCAGUGGAGCGCGUGGAGGGAUCUGAGCAUUGGUUAGGGAGGGUGUUCCUCCUGGUACCUGCCUGGCUGGGCAGCAUAAGGCCGCCACCAGGUAUCUCCUCAGCCCUCUUUAGGUGCCUAGCACUGUUCAAUGGUGAACUCAAUAUACAGUGUCCCUGCUCACAUGGGGCGUACCUUCUAGUGGGUGGAGAUAGACACUGAACGAAUGAAAACAUAUAUGAAGAGGAAGAUACCAUGUAGUGGAAAAUGCUAUGCAGAGAACUGAAUCAGGGCAAUAUGUCAGAGAGGGUGUGGGGUCCAGGAAGGCCUCUGAAGAGGUCACACUUUUGCUGAGCCCUCAGAAGCACAGGAAAGCAGCCACGCAGAGCUAAGGAGUAUCCAGGCCAAGGGAAUGGCCAGCACAAAGGCUUGAAAAAGAGAUUCAUGUGUGUAGGCAGAAAGGCCAGUGUGCCUGGGAGUAGUUGGCCAGAAGGGAGUGGUGGACCUAAAGCGGGAGAGGCAGGCAGGGUCAGAUCUUCUGGGGCUUUGUAGAACAAAACCUAAGUGGAUUUCAUUCUAAGCAUGAUAGGCGUGUAGUUUGAAGCAGGAAAGUAACAUGUUCUGAUACAUAUUUAAUUUUACUUUGCCUGCUCUGGGAGAGUGGGUUGCAGGGGGUGGUAUUUGUAUUAGUUUCCAAGGGCUGCUGUAACAAAAUACCACAAACUGGGUGACUUUAAACAACAGAAAUCUAUUGUUUCAUCGUUUUGAAAGCUAGUAGUAGUCUGAAUUCAGGAUCUUGGCAGGGCUACGUUUUCUUCAAAGGCUCUGUCUCUUUAUUCUUGGUAGUAGGAAGUCCCUCUGCCUCUCUGCACACUUCUGUCUUGUAUGUCUCAAAAUAGAUUAACUAAAGAUACAACCUAAUCCUGUAGAUUUUGUCCUGCCUCAUCAACGCCUCUAAUUCUGCUUCAUCAGUAUCAUUAAAAAAAAAAGGAGGAAAAUCACAUCAGAUGACAAAAUGGUGGACAGACACACAAUACCAGGAAUCAUGGCCUAACCUAGUUGGCACACGUUUGGGGGGGACACAAUUCAAUCCAUAACAGGUUCCAAAGACCAGGUUGUUACGUGAAAAUUGGCGUUAUAUGAAAAUGAGGAUGACCACGUUAGAUUACUACAUCAUUACAUAACUGCCACAUUGCACCAUUACAUUAAUGCCAAGAUACAUCAUUAUUAACUGCCAAACCACUGAGAAUCACAGCCCAGGCAAGUUGACAUAUAGCCUUAACCAUCACAGCAAGCGUUCCUCUCACUUCGCACCCCGGCGUUGAUUACUGCCAGACUUAUGUCCUUAACGCACAACAUAGUCAGAUAGUAGAUUUUUUUACUGUUGUCAUAAAUGUGAAAUAUCAGAUAGAGAGAGUCGAUAAACGAAGAGUAGGCGUAUUACAAAAUUGAGCCGUCGAGAAUACAUGAAAACAAUUACACGUGCUGUGAAAUAUAAAUCAUGCCUCUUUUAUUUUCGACAGUAUAAUUAACUACAAAUGCCUCACUAGGAUAGAAAACAAAAGCAGGAAAACUUCUGGCCACGUUGGUGUAACUCAGCAGAUGAGAGUUCUGUUGUUGGAUCUGUACCUGAUACCGCCGCUCAGCCACGUUAGCUUGUCUGUUCUCAUAGCAAGGUGCCCACUGUACAUAACUUGAUACACAUACAUUUACUCUCCUUUCUUUGGUCGGUAUUUCAAGGGAUAUGACUUUUUGUUAGCUCUAUUUUUAACUUAUGUGAACAACUCAUCAUUUUUGUCUGUUUUGUUUAACUUUUCAAGUAAUGCCUCUGCCCCAUUCCCCGCUUCCUCAAUGACUGUUUGUUUUUCCCUUCCGCUCUGGCUGAAACUGUUGGGGAGAGGCUAUUCAAAAAAAAUUGCCAAAAAUCUCAAACCUUAUAAAUGUGUUGUAUCUUCCCCAGGCCUGAAAUAACACGACAACACUCCUCUUUCAGCCCCCUCUGCUCUUUAUUUACCCUUUUUUUUUAGGGAGGGAAGAUAUCACAGGUUAUAUUGGAAGAGUCCUCUACAGGAACACCCCAAACAUUGUCCCUGAACCCAAAUGAUGUAUCCUCCCCCUUGAGAUUCUCAGCAGAUAAUUCAUACAGCAUAUGCUGCAGAUAUUCAUCCAGAAACUCCUGGAAUGUCAGGCUGUUUCCAAAGUUCUGUUACUCUGAAGGAACCCUGGUGGUGGAGUGGUUAAGAGCUCGGCUGCUAACCAAAAGGUCAGUAGUUCAAAUCCACCAGCCACUCUUUGGAAACCCUGUGGGGCAGUUCUACCCUGUCUUAUAGGGUCACUAUGAGUUGGAAUCAACUCAGUGGCAGUGGGUUUGGUUUUGGUAUUACUCUGAAUGAUGUAUUGGUUCUCUUUUGUGUUUGCCUCCUGGCUUUAUCUUAGGGCUUUGACUCUUCGGUGAUUGAUAUAGCAACACACUGAGGAUCACCAGGCUUAAGCCAGCCAUUCCCAUCCAAAUGAGAUUCUCCACUGUGUAACCUUGAGAGUUUGAAGCUAGGAAUUGUGAACAAAGAGGUCACAGAGGGUAGAGUAAGCCAAAUUAUCCUGAGGGAUCUAUGUGUCUGUUCAGGAUACCUACCCACUUUUCUUGAAAGAUCAUAUAUCUGUGUCUACCUGCCCCAUAACUGAGAAUGUCCCCUUACUCACCACUUGUGGAGUCUGGCUUGUCUUUUUUUGUUUGUUUUUUUUUAAUAUUUUAUUGUGUUUUCAGUGAACGUUUACACAGGAAAUUAGAUUCUCAUUUAACAAUUUCUGUACUUAUUGUUCAGUGACUUUAGCUACUUUGCAAUAUAUCAGCAUUCUCAUUAUUUUUGUUUUGGUCGUUCUGUUUCCAUUUAUCUAGCUUCCCUGUUCCCUUUUGCCUUCUCAUCUUUGGUCUAGGGUAAAUAUUAACCAUUUGGUUUCAUUUAGAUGAUGUUUUCAGAAGCACAGUACUCACGAGUGAUAUUUAUUUUAUGGGCCAGUCUAUCAUUUGGCUGAAAGGUGACCUCUGGGAGUGGUUUGAGUUCUAAGUUUAAGGGGUAGCUCAGGGUGAUAGUCUCGAGGAUUCAUCUAGUCUCUACUAGUCCAGUAAGUCUGGCCUUUUUAAAGGAAUUCGAGUUUUGUUCUACAUUUUUUCUCCCAUUUUAUCUGGGACCAUCUAUUUUGUCCCUGGUCAGAACAGUCAGUAGUGGUAGCUGGGUACCGUGUAGUUCUUCUGGUCUCAAGGUAGGUGAUGUCCUCGUUCAUUGUUCAUCUAGACUGUUGAUUCUGUAGACUAAUUUCUUCUUUGAGUCUUUGAUUUCCUUCUUUCUCUUUAGCUUCAGACAAAUAGAGACCAAUAAUUUUAUCUCACAUGGCCACUCACAAGUUUUUAAGACCCCAGACGCUACUCACCAUACUAGGAUGUAGGACAUUGUUUUUAUGGUCUAUAUUAUGCCAGUUGACUCAGUUGCCCCAUGAGACUAUGGUCCUAAGCCCUCAAGCCCAGUAAACCAAUCCUGUGAGGUAUUUGGUUGUAUCUAGGAAGUAUCCAUAAUUGUGCUCCCUUUGUGCUUUAUUUUAUACUUGAAAAUAUAUGCAGCACACAUGUAUAUACAUAUGCCUACAGUCUGUCUUAUAUGCCUUCCUGUACAUAUUUAUGCAUACUUAUAUAUCUAUGUAACCAAACACAUAUUCUUUAGUUAUUACUGUUGUAAAAUGUAUAUCACCAACAAUUUUUUUUUUACAAAUUUCCAUGUACGUUGUUCAUUGACAUUAGUUACAUUUAUCACAAUUUGUCAGCAUUCUCAUUAAUUAUGUCUUUACCCUUCUAUUUGUGCUCAAACACUUGUCUUUACUAUGGUUGUGCUAUGCUCACUACUCCCACAUUCAGAGUCACGUUUCCCAUCACCAAAAAUAACAAGUCUCUAAGUUCUAACGCAUACUUACCUCUCCCCGCCUUCUUCCUGGUAACCACAAAUAUUGGCCUCUCUAUACCUAUUCUUUUCUUCUUAUAAAAGAGGGAUCAUACAAUAUUCAUCCUUAUAUGCUUGACUGAUUCAUUUAACAUUAUGCCCUCCAGGUCCAUCCAUUGUUAUGUUUUGUGAACUUGUCAUUGUUCUUUAUGAUUGCAAACAAUUCCAUUUUCUAUGUGUACUACACUUAGGUUGAUUCCAUUGUUUGGUAUAGUGAAUAAAGCUGCAGUGAACAUAAGAGUGCAUAUAUCUGGUCAUGUCAGUAGUUUUAAGGCUUUAGCAUAUAUUCCUAGGAUCGUAUUCCUAGGGUAUAUCCCUGGGAUUGCUGAAUUGUAAAGUAGCUUUAUUUCAAGUUUUUUUAGGAAAUGCCAAACCAUUUUCCAUAGCGAUUGUAGUAUUUUACAGUUGUAUCAGCAAUGAAUAAAGGUCCCAGUCUCCCCACAUCCUUGCUAACAUUUGUUGUUUUUUUAAUCAGUUCCAUUUUGGUAGGAGUGAGAUGGUAUCUCAUUAUAGUUUUGAUUUCCAUCUCUCUAUUUCUUCAAUGGCUAAUGAUCAUGACCAUCUUGUCAUGUGUUUGUUGGCUGCUUGUAUAUCUUCUUUGGUGAAGGUUCUGUUCCUGUUCAUUGCCAUUUUAUAAUCAAGUUUUUGUUGUUGUUGUUGUUGUUGAGUUGUUGAAGUUUUCUAUAGAUUUUGUUGUUGUUGUUACCACACACAGACUACUGUUCCAACCAUAACUCAGGAGCCCACAGUAGAUGAACAAGGUAGGCAAAGACCUUCCUGUUAGAAGUAUACCUUGUACAUUUCAGGGUCCUAUGGUCUGUCCAUGAUGAAUAAGGCCUACAGGUCAUUCAGGCUUAUGGUUAUAAAAUGACAUAUGGCAGCAUUGCUCUUUGUACUCUUUUCCCUUAGGGACAUUAUACGGACAGCCAAGGUCAGUGCAAAUGUGAUCUGAGUGUUGUUUUUCCUUAUUUCCCUUCUUAUACAGAAUUUUGACAUCACCUGUUAUAUAUUCUACUCUUUUCUCUGAGCUCCAACUUUCUAUUUCCAAAUAGCUUUUAUAUUUACAUAAUCUAAAUGACACAGGAAUGAGAGAGCCGCAGUAUCUAUUUCUCAUACCCACCAGCUAUCUUGGCGGAUGUGGCAGGCUGCACCAUGUCCUGUUCCUCCUUUACUGAUAAAGAAUACUAACAGGUAAUAAGUACCAUGGUGUAACAAAAAUACACUACUUCAGCUUGGUGAGUGGCUUUUCUUGUUCCAGAGCCCACUAUAAACAAAGUCAAUCUUGGGGAAGAGUAGAGAUUUUCAACUCUUAGAGUUUUGUUGUUGUUGUUAGUUGUCAUGAGUCAGCUCUAACUCUGGUGACCUUUUGUAUAACAGAACAAGACUUUGCUGGUCCUGUGCCAUCUUCAUGAUCAUUGGUAUGGUUGAGUCUAUUGUUUUGACUGUUGUAUGAGUCCAUCUCAUUGAGGGUUCCCCUCAUUUUUGCUGACCUUCUACUUUACAAAGCAUGAUAUCCUUUUCUAGGAAUUGAUCUUUCCUGAUGACAUGGCUAAAUUAAGUGAGCCGAUCAUCAUUCUCACUUCUAAGGCGCUUUCUGGUUGUAUUUCUUUUAAAACUGAUUUGUUCAAUCUUCUGGAAGUCCACAACAUAUUCAGUAUUCUUCACCAAUACCACAAUCUGAAUGCAUUCUUUUUCUGUCUUCCUUUUUCAUUUUCCAGCUUUUGUGUGCAUAUGAGGCAAUUGAAAAGACCAUGGCUUGGGUCAGGUACACUUUAGUCAUUAUUUUUGUUUGCCACCGAGUCAAUUCCAGCUCAUAGGGACCCUAUAGUCAUUAGAGUACUGUGUAUCAUAUCAUUUACAUAGUAAUAGGACCCAAGUACUAUACUGUUUAUAUUUUUUGUGUUUCUGAGUCAGUUAACAGUUUCAUUAUAAUGAUACUAAAUCUUUUGUGUGUGGAUUCACUGGCCCAUCCCUCUGUUCUCAGCUGAAUUAAUGGAGAACUGAGUUACUCUUCUCUGACACCAGGUCCAUAGCCAGGAGUAGCAAGACUGUGUCCAGUUGCUCUGGCUUCUGAUGGCCUGAUUGCUGGCACUGCUUGCUGGCAAGGAAAUGGUUCUGUCUUCCCAGGUAGUAGCUCAGUUAUUUUCCAGUUUCCUCAGCCAUAAGGGUUAGUGGAGAGAAUUGGCUGGAACAUAAUGAAAGAACAGCUGGUCAGUUUCUUGGCUGCAUUGGAGAAGGAAAUGCAAAUAUCAGUGUCAACUGGAGUAAACAAAAACUUUUAAAGUUAUUGAAAAUAACAGAAAAACAUGUCACUUUCUGCAUAUGCAUAGGAAUUGCUGGCAUCAGCCAUAUUCCCUUGAGAAAGUUUCAAACCUCUUCAUCGCAGAUAUUUUUGUUAUUGUUGUUGUUGUUACCUUUGAGUUGGUUCCAACUCAUAGAGACCCUAUGUACAACGAAAUGAAAUACUGCCCAGACCUGUGCCAUCAUCACAAUCUUUGCUAUGCUUGAGCCCAUCUUUGCAGCUACUAUAUCAGUCCGUCUCAUUAAGGGUCUUCUUCUCUUUUGUUGACCCUUUACUUAACCAAGCAUGAUGUUCUUCUCCAGGGACUGGUCCCUUCGAUAAUAUGUCCAAAGUACUUGAGACAAAGUCUCGUCAUCCUCACUUCUAAGGAGCAUUCUGGCUUUACUUCUUCCAAGACAGAUUUGUUUGUUCUUCUGGCAGUCCAUGGUAUAUUCAAUAUUCUUUGCCAACACCAUAAUUCAAAGGCAUCAAUUCUUCUUCAGUCUUUCUUAUUCAUUGUCCAGCUUUCACAUGCAUAUGAGGCAUUUGAAAAUACCAUGGCUUAGGUCAGGUGCAUCUUAGUCCUCAAAGUGACACCUUUCCUUUUUAACGCUCUAAAGAGGUCUUUUGCAGCAGAUUUGGCCGUUGGAAUACAUUGUCUGAUUUCUUGACUGCUGCUUCCAUGGACAUGGAUUGUGGAUGCAAGUAAAAUGAAAUCCUUGACAACUUCAGUAUUUUCUGUAUUUAUCAAGAUGUUGCUUACUGGUCCAGUUGUGAAGAUUUUUAUUUUCUUUUGUUGAGGUGUAAUCUAUACUGAAGGCUGUAGUCUUUGAUCUUCAUCAGUAAGUGCUUCAAAUCUUCUUCACUUCCACAAGCAAGGUUCUGUCAUCUGCGUAUUGCAGAUUGUUAAUGAGUCUUCCUCCAAUCCUGAUGCCCCAUUCUUCUUCAUAUAGUCCAGUUUCUUGGAUUAUAUGCUCAGCAUACAGAUUGAAUAAGUAUGGUGAAAGGAUACAACCCUGACAAACACCUUCCCUAAUUAUAAACCACGCAGUAUUCCCUUGUUCUGUUCGAACAAUUGCCUUUUGACCUGUGUACAGGUUUCUCAUGAGCCCAGUUAAGUGCUCUGGAAUUCCCAUUUUUCAAAAUGAUAUCCAUAAUUUAUUAUGAUCCACACAGUUCAAUGCCAUUGCAUAGUCAAUAAAACAAAGGUAAACAUUCUUCUGGUAUUCUCUGCUUUCAGCCAGGAUCCAUCUGACGUCAGCAAUGAUCUCCCUCAUUCCAUAAAAAAAAUAUCAUCUUCUAAAUCUGGCUUGAAUUUCUGGAAUUUCCCUGUCAAUGUACUGCGAUAACCACUUUUGAAUUAUCUUCAGCAAAAUUUUACUUGCCUUUGAUAUUAAUGAUAUUGUUUGAUAAUUGCCACAUUCUAUUAGAUCUCCUUUCUUUGGAAUAGUCACAAAUAUGGAUCUUUUCCAGUUGGUUGGCCAGGUAGCUGUCAAGGACAUGUUCUGCUCUAUUACAUAGGGAAGUUUCCAUUUUAUUUGCUGUGAAUUUCACUAGUAAAUGGGAAAAAUGCCACAGAUUAACUUUGAGGCCCUCAUUUUUCAUGAAGAAGCAUACCUUUUAUUCCGUCAUGACCCCAUUGGUAUUUCUCAUCAGUACCUUCAACCUUUACUUGGCAAAGUCCUUCCUCACCAUUUUACCAGCUUCUUCUUCUGUUCAACUUUCCAUUUUCAUUGGCCACUUCAUUCUCUGCAAACCCAGUCUUUUACAGUGAUCUUCAUUUCUUUUAUGUUCUUUUCCAUGUUCAGUUAAUUAAAAUUUGUUUCGCGAUAUUUCCCAAACAUGGGAGUCCAAACCUUGGUUAUAUCACUUCUCGGUUAGUGUCUUAGCUCCUUAGUGCUGCUAUAACAGAAAUACCGCAAGUGUGUGGUUUUAGAGAACAGAAAUUUGUUUUCUCAGAGUUUAGGAGGCUACCCACCUAGUGCCGUUGAGUCGAUUCCAACUCACAGCGACCCUAUAGGACAUAGUAGAACUGCCCCAUAGAGUUCCCAAGGAGCACCUGAUGGAUUUGAACCGCCAACCCUUUGGUUAGCAGUUGUAGCACUCAACCACUAUGCCACCAGGGUUUUCUUAGGAGGCUAGAAGUGCAAAUUCAGGACACCAGAUCUAAGGGAAGGCUCUCUCUGUCAUCUCUUCGAGACGAUGUCUCAGUUUUGUAGACCCGGCAUCCCUAGAUUGCUUGCUGAUCUCCAUGUGGCAUCUAAUCCUCCCCUCCAUUUGUGCUUGCUUCUCUGUGCCUCAUCUGCUCUUUUUACAUUAGGUUUAAGACACACCCUACACUGAUAUGGACUCACCAAUGUAAUAAACAAAACCCCAUUCCCAAAUGAGAUUACAUCCAAAGGUAUAGGGUUAGGAUUACACCACGUAUUUUGGAGGGACACAAUUCAGUCCAUAACAGUUUCUAGGUCUCUUCCACAAGUUUUUCUCCAACACCAGUGUUUUCCAUCUACUUUAAGAAGAGAAAAUUCCAUAACCAAAAUGCCUCUCUCCCUUUGUGGACAUUCUACUUUCUACGGAUUUUCUGUCUUUCCCUUGAAACUAAGCUCAACUACAACAGUUCCCGAUAUUUGCGUGACACCAGACGUCUUUCAAAGUUCUUUUUAUGCAUUUUCCCCUUUGAUUGUCUCAACUGUGUGAGCUUGUGAGAAAUUAAGUAAUUUACCCCCAAAAAAUACACUGUUGUAUACCAGAAAGGAGACUAUAACUUAAGAUCUCUAAAUCUCAGUCUAAUUUCCUUCUUCUACCCGGUGCAGCCUCUCUUAUUCCAUGUGGUAUUCAGAGUUAUUAACUGUUCACACCUUUUCUUGAUAUAUUGUCUUUAUUCUGGACCAUAGAAUAUUCUAGACUACCCACCCCUUUCUGCCUUGGACAUUUAAUAACCUUUCUUUGACUCUCCACCACCUCUAUACCGUUCUGACUCAUGGCAACCCCAUGUGUGUCAGACUGAAACUGUGCCAUAGGUUUUCAAUGGCUGAUUUUUGGAAGUAGAUCUUCAGGGCUUUCUUCUAAGGCAUAUCUGGUGGACUCGAACCUCCAACCUGUUACUUAGCUGCCAAGUGCAUUAGCUGCUUAUACUACCCAAUGACUCCUCUUUUCAGCUGUUUAAGAAUCAAUUCUGAUUAUCUUGGCCUCCAAUAUUUAUGCCCCAAUACCACAUCAUGGGAUAGAGUGCCUUGCAAAUCCUUUCCCACAUUCUGCAUUCUUGUCAGAAACCCCUGUCCUCAGAGACACUAUAUUUGCCUCAUUUCUUCAUAGACUCACAAUACCCUGGGCCAUUGUAUCUCCCUGCCUCUGGAGAAGGGGCAUUCAUGGACUUGCCUAUGGAAUGCCUGCUCACUGAAAAGUUAUAUUUCGGUGUCUGUUUGGUGUUUUUUUUUUUUUUCCCCAACCUAAACAAAUGUUCUAGACGUUGUUUUUGCUUCAUUUUCCCCCAACAUUCGUGCUAACAAAGCUUUGUUUUCAUAGAGCACUUUUCUCCUAAAAUAUUCAAAGUGCUUUGAACGUUAUCCAUCCUUGCAAUGUGCCUCUGAGGUAAGUGGGUGGCAAGUAUUUUUAUCCGUCUUUUAUUAAAACAGAGGCAGAAUUCACUGUGCAAGGAUCCCCUGGAAAGCAGAAUGAUCUGGACUUUGUGAAUUUAGGCUCUGCCUUAUUACUGGCCACCAUAAACCCACUCCUGGUACAGCCAUGCACAGAAGUGUCUCCUUUGCAGGUAGACUCACAUGCAUGCAUUAACAUGGUUUCUCAGGAGCCCUUGACUUGUGGAAUGUAGAAUCUGAGUAUAAAUGGAAUGAGCCCAACUUGGAAAUUGUUCUGAAAGAGAAGCACAUUCAGAACUAUGAAUUAGAUCCUACCCAUUCUUUUGAGCCCAAUUCAAAUGCCAGUUCCUCUAAAAAACAAUAAAUCUACCCUUUCCCUGGACUCUCGUGCCCUUUAUCUACUCUUCAUUUGAAGUAUACAACUCACAGUACUUUAUCCUGUUACUCUUCUGUAUAGAGCCCUGCCUAAUUCACCUCUGUGGUAGUAGUUCACAUAGUGCUAUGUACACAGUACGUGCUCACCAAAGGUGUUUUAGAACAGAAUGGAAGGAGUCAACCUUUAUUGUUUAUAACUGUCUUGGAGCCAAACUAUUUCUCCUAUUGGGAGGUCAUAACUGACUUGGAUGACGUAUACAAGAUUGACAUAGUUUGUCCUCUAACUUUGCUUCGUGUUUACCACUUGAGGCAUCAGUCCCCACGGGUGGUGCUGGGGAAUCUCUCUCUCUUAGCCCAAACCUUUACGUAUGAUAAUUGAGAAAGUAUCAUCAAACCAGCCAUUUGAUCAACAACAGCUCUGAGAAACCACCUUUGAGCACCAACCCUGCAGGAGACGCUAAGCAAUAUCUUCACUGUCUUCAGCUCAUGCUAUCUGCCAUCCAUUGGCAGGACAGAAGAGCCCCUGCUGGCUACUGACCUCCCAGGAAUAAUCUGGGCAUUGGAUGCAUCAGGCUCCAAAUUAUCUGUGCUGCACUGAUGAAAGGACCUUUAAGUAAAGAGUUGCUUGUUAAAAAUAAGUAAUGCCAAUUCUCCAGCCACCCCCUGCAUUUUCCUUUCCCUUGCUCCCUUAGAUGUCUCUAAAACGCACCAACAAAGCCUACAAAACACUGGUAAUGAAAAGGAAGGGAGAGCAAGUUCUUUUUGUCAUAAAAGUGAACUGUGAGUCAUAGCUCCUGACUCAUAAUAUACAUACAAAGGAAGCCAACCAGUGGGGGUGCACUCUAAUGGGGUGUUUCUGUGGUGACUCAUGCAGGCCUGGGAGGAAGAGGAGCCUGAAUCCAAACAAGUAUAUUUUUAAAUAUGGGAGGGCGUGUUUCCUGGUACAGUACACACUGCAUGCUUAUUUUAGCCCAGGCACUAAAAUGUGUGGGCAUGGUCUCCACGGAGCUUUCUCUUAUGGUCGUGUUUUGUUCUGUCGGUGGAGAGGGGGGUUUAAUGAUUGACUGACACUCACAUGGAUGUAAUAGUUCAGUGCCAUAUUUAAUGUAAUGAGGGGAAGAAAUUUAGAGUGCUAUAACUUCAGUAAUUUUGCCCCAUUGGACAGAACCACUUCACAUCUCACCAUGCAGUACACCAAAAUUUAUUGAGCCCCUACUGUUUAUAAGAAACCCUGGAUGGUGCAGAUGGUUAACGUGUUCUGUUGCAAACCAAAAGGUUGGAGGUUCAAGCCCACCCACAGGUACCUCAGAAGAAAGACCUGGCAAUCUACUUCGGACAAAUCAGCCACUGAAAACCCUGUGGAGUGCAGUUCUAGUCUGACACACAUGGGUUCGCCAUGAAUUGGAAUUGACUUGAUGGCAAUUGGUUUAUUGUUUAUUAGGAAUAGUGGUAAGUGCUGAGUAUACCAGGACAGAGAAGGCGUUGUUCUGGGCCUCAAAGGUCUAAGAGUUAUUCUGAGUAGACAAAAAAGCAGGCAGGUAAUUGGAAAAUUGACAGAGGGUGAGAUGAGGACUCUUAGAAGGGGCAGCCUGCAGGUAAUGGAAGUAAAAAGACUCCUUAGAGGUGUUAGCAACUACCCUGUAUCUUAAAGGAAGUGUAGGAGUCAUCCCUGAGAGGGAGAACGGACAAAGACAGAAGAAACAGUGUUUGUAAAGUCUAGAAGUCUUGCAUACAGCUCAUAUUAUUUUUAGCUAUUCAGUUUUGUUUUUAAUAUUUUGAAAUGUGUUUUUUCCUCUCCCCUGACCCGUGCAUUCUGGAAUUUUCAUUUUCAAAACUAGGGUUCUGAAUCUGACUCAUUCUGGGCCAGGCAGAGUCCACGUCGUGAUGAGAUUUUGUGGAGUUUGGACUUUAUCUUAAGGUGAUGUGAAGCCACUGUAGACAUUUUAGCAGAGGAGGCAUACGGUUAUGCCGGGUGGUAUUGAGUCAGUUGUGACUCACGGCGACCCCAUGUGUGUCAAAGUAGAGCUGUGCUCCGUAGGGUUUUCAAUGGCUGUUUUUUCAGAAGUAGAUUACCAGGCCUUUCUUCCAAGAGGCCUCUGUGUGGACUCAAACCCCCAACCUUUCUCUUAGUAACCAAGCAUGUUAACCAUUUGCACUGCCUAGAAUUGGAUUUUAACAAGCUCCCUUUGAGGGGCAGUGAGGAAAAUGGAUCAGUUUUGAGCCUGAGACCAUUUUGAAGCCGUUUGUCAUAGCCUGGGAAAACAAUGAUGAGAACCCAAACCAAGGGCCACCCCGUAAAAAAACCCAGUGCCAUCGGCAGUGAUAGUGAAAAAGGAAAGGAGCAGAUAUAUAUUGAACAUAUUAAGGUGACUGAGAGAGGAGUCAGGGCUAACCAGGGAAACUGAAGGUAUAGGGUGGGGAACCAGUAAGUUUUAAUAGGCCACAAAGAUGAUAAUGAGUCCAGUUUGAGACAUUUUGAGUUUGAGGUGACUAUGGGACAUCCAGGUGCACAAGUACAGGAAACAGUUGUCUGUCUGAAACUCAGAGGACAGAUCUGGGCUCUAUGUAGACAUUUGGCAGCUAUGAGCAUGGAAGCCACAGGACCAUUCAGCUUCUCUGGGACAAGAGUUAAGACUAAGGAGAAAACGAAGAUGAGAAUAAAACCUUGGUCGGAGAAAAAAAAAGAAAAAACAAUUCUAUGAGGGAGGCUAAGGAAGAGUUUGUUAUGAAAGGACAUAAUGGUUGGUAAAGCAGAGGGUCAGUGAAAACAAGGAAAACCCUCCCUGAAAUAGAUUGACACAAUAGACAAAAAAAACGGACCCAAACAUUCCAACGGUCGUAAAUAUGAUGGGGGACCAGGAACAUUUCGUUCUGUCAUAUGUAAGCUCACCAUGAGUUGGAGCCAACUCAGCAGCACCGCACAGCAAGGAAGAGUGGCAAGAUCAGGAAGAAGAAAAAUUAUCUAUGUGUCUCUUCUCCAGCGUUAGUGGGCCGUUGUCAUUAGUUCAUUCCCCUCUGAGGUCUUGAUGGCCAGCGAAUAAAUUUGAAGCCAUUCCUGAGGAACUGUAUGAUUAUAAAAAAAAAUGAUUAUAGACACACUAAAUAUUACGUUUUUUCUUACUAAAUAAACAUGGUAUUAUAUUGGGUAUCUUACUAUAGUACAUUUCAAUGACCAUCUGAGAUGACCUAGGCCACUUAUAUAUAUAUAAAAAAAAAUAGCAAAAAUGCUGUUUUGAGAGAAUUGAGUAAUUUUUAAAAAUGAAAGCUCUAGAAUGCAUUUGUCAAGGGAGAGAAAGAAAUCAGUUUCAAAAUACUGAGAACAAAAUUGAAUGAGCAAACAAUAAAACAAACUCUCAGCAAGGAAUAGGAAUGUGUCUGAGAGAAUUAACUCUACAUAGAAGGAAGACCUGAGAAUUUACGUGAGAAUCUUCCUCCUGAGGUUAAAAGCAUUUCAUUUUUAGCCACACCCUUAGUUAGGUUUUUCAUUUGAGAUGGGUGUUGAAAUAGAUGGAUUCUUAUCUAAAAUGAUUUCUUCUUGGUGAGAGUUUAAAAAGAGAGAGAGAGAGGGCGUCAGUUAGCCAGCAGCCAAAGUAGCCCUUGUUGAAUCUGGUCGAGGGCAAAUCCAACUGGAGGCAAAGUCUGAGACUGACUAACAAACCACCUGAAAAUACUUACAGGGAUUUUAUAGAGACUUAAAGGGUUAAUUGGCAUUAUAAAUCAGCAUGACCAGGAACAAAAAAAAAAAAAAAAUUGCAAGCAUUCAGUAUAAGAAGAACUAGGAGAUAAUUAAAAAAAAAAAAACUUUACCCAUCAUUUAAGACUGAAUUCUUCACAAAUCCACAUU
Molecule: long non-coding RNA, 73501 nt
Organism: Loxodonta africana (African savanna elephant)
Lineage: Eukaryota; Metazoa; Chordata; Mammalia; Proboscidea; Elephantidae
Exons: 2
Source: RefSeq, a predicted model, not a curated record